RNAcentral lists this long non-coding RNA (54161 nucleotides) under Linum usitatissimum (flax). RNAcentral describes it as "long non-coding RNA (LUSI_LNC005074)". Lineage: Eukaryota; Viridiplantae; Streptophyta; Magnoliopsida; Malpighiales; Linaceae. The record is from RNAcentral.
ACAAUCGAGAUAGUGACACAAUAUGGCAUUGUCAGUUUGAGAAUGUUUUGUGAAUGUCUGCUAGAUUCCAGGUUGAAUAAUGAAAUCUCAAUAAGCUCGAUGUGGUGUAAUGUUGUACUUGUUUUGAUGCUUAUAUGCUUGUCUACUUGUGGCUCCUCCCUUGGAAAUGGUUUAAGGCAUUCUAUGAAAUCGUCCUGCUUUUGAUCAGUAAGAUUUAGGAUUUAAUAGGUGAAGAAGAUGGACAAAGGAUCAUGGUAAAAUCUAGAGAUAGAAAUGUACUUGUUGUCAUACACUCAUACUUAUGAUUCAUGGUUUAGGACACAUGUAGUUGAAGGCAUUUUUAUGAGAACUUGGACUAUUUUGCAAUGAUGGAGAAAGGGUAGACUUGAGCUGCUGUUAUAUUCUCAUCUCGGCAGAAAAGUUUAGAUUUUUCCAAGUUGCUGAAUGACUGUUAAUUGACUUGUUUCAUCGCCGCACUUAAUUCGAGUUGUAGGUUUCUUCAAUUCGAGCUAGCAAGUCAGAUGACAAGAGGCUGACAAUCUUCACAGGAACGAAGACGCUUCACUUACGCUGCAUCACUAGAGACGACAGAGCUUUAUGGCUCGAGGCAUUGCAGACGGCAAAGGAUCAUUUUCCACGAGUGUUGUCAAGCACUGAUUUCACCUCGGCUGAUGAUGUGAUUGUGUCAUCCGAGAAGUUGAGGUCUCGGUUAGUGCAAGAAGGCGUUGGUGAGGCGGUGAUUAAAGAUUGUGAGACUAUUAUGCUCUCGGAAUUCUCUGAGCUGCAAAACCAGUUGAGGUGCCUUCAACGGAAGCAUCUUAUCUUGUUGGAUACCUUAAGGCAGUUAGAGGUGUGACUUUGUUUUCUCAAGUUAUGUAUUCAUGUCUUUUUUUUUCCGUGUCUUUUUGUUGGCUUGAAUGUGAUGAUUUAUCUAUUGUCAUUGUUGUGUAUUAGACAGAGAAAAUAGAAUUGGAAACUACUGUAGUGGAUGAGACGAAGGAGCGGGACUCAUAUUGUGGACAAGCAAACAGAAGAUUCAGUGGUCAGUAUAAUCUUCUUAAUCCAGAUCUUUUCCAUGUUAUCACAGCAGUUCGUAUGUUAUUAGCUAAAUUAGGAUACUGUGGAGCCGAGAUAACUAAUAUGGCCAGACUGCAACUGAAGUUCCUUGACGGUCGGCCUAUUUAUCUACAUGUUGAUAAGUUGUUAUAAUUCCUUGUAGGGUGAAGUGCCAUUCUUAGCAUCAUAGCUUUGCUUCAGGUUCAACUGUUGGAUUUCUAUAGUAAUCAGAACUUUUAGAUAUUUGCUGAUACAUGUGUUUUACGUGUUCCUAGAUUUCUAUUCUGUAUUGUCAGAAGGCAGUGUUAGCGACUCUGACGCAGACAACGAAAGUCAAGAUGGGGUUGACGCUGAAACUGAUGAAGAAGACAAGACGUUCUUCGACACAAACGAUUUCUUGUCAGCUGAAGCAUUGCGGAGCGCUUCGUACAGGAGUAGGGAAUCAGUGGGAAGUGCGUGUAUAUAUGACAAAGACGCGUUUUACUCCGAUCGUCUGCAGCAUGAGAAAGACAUCACGACAGCCAACUAUCCGUUAGUUCGAAGGCGCGACAAUUUGCCGGAACCAAAGGAGAAGGAGAAGCCUGUUGGUCUGUGGUCGAUUAUCAAGGACAAUAUCGGGAAGGACUUGUCUGGAGUCUGCCUUCCCGUGUACUUUAACGAACCACUCUCCUCGCUACAGAAGUGCUUCGAGGAUUUGGAAUACUCGUACCUGGUCGAUCGAGCAUUACAAUGGGGGAAACAGGUCAGAUCCCCUUUAAAAUGGAUGAAUACAUUUUACAUUCUUCUUCAGUUUGAUAAUUACUUUGGCUGUGUAGGGGAAUGACCUGAUGCGAAUUCUGCAUAUUGCGGCAUUCGCUGUAUCUGGAUAUGCAUCGACUGAAGGCCGCCAGUGUAAGCCGUUCAACCCUCUACUGGGGGAGACGUACGAAGCUGAUUAUCCAGACAAAGGUCUACGUUUCUUUUCCGAAAAGGUUAGUUUCGGUUCGUGUGAUUUGGAACAGAGGUUUUUUUUUCAUUCAAUUUGCAUUGAUGAGUUUCUUGUGAUCAGGUUAGCCACCACCCGAUGAUCGUCGCGUGUCACUGUGAGGGAAAAGGCUGGACAUUCUGGGGAGACUCGAAUCUCAAGGGCAAGUUCUGGGGAAGAUCUAUCCAACUCGAUCCCGUAGGCAUACUUACAUUGCAGUUUGAGGAUGGCGAGACUUACCAAUGGAGCAAAGUUACGACGUCCAUAUACAACAUCAUUCUAGGAAAACUGUACUGUGAUCACUACGGCACUAUGCGGAUCAAAAGCAGCGGCAACUACUCGUGCAGGCUCAAGUUCAAGGAGCAGUCCAUUAUCGACCGAAACCCCCAUCAGGUAGCCCUUGCAUUUUCUUUGAAAACUAAUGGCUAGUUAAGUUAAGCACGUGUAGAACUGUAGUAAUGAGUUCUAAGUAUUUGUUCAGGUUCAUGGGUUCGUACAGGACGACAGAACUGGACAGAAGGUGGCAAUGCUGGUGGGGAAGUGGGACGAAGCGAUGUACUAUGUUCUAGGCGAUCCAACGACAAAGCCAAAGGGUUACGACCCAAUGACAGAAGCAAUCUUAUUAUGGGAGAGGGACAAGUCGGUUACCAAAACCAGAUACAACCUCACACCCUUCGCCAUAACCUUAAACGAGGUUACUCCCGGAUUGUUGGAGAAGUUGCCACCCACAGACUCCAGACUUCGACCGGAUCAAAGGUUCCUCGAAAACGGGGAGUAUGAGUUGGCGAAUGCGGAGAAGUUGAGACUCGAACAGCUACAAAGACAGGUUUCUUUUUCCUCCCUCCAUCCCGAUCGAAUAAUUCUUUCAAUUCAUGACCAUCCCUUUGUCAUGUGAUGCCAGGCGAGGAAGGUACAAGAAAGGGGAUGGCAGCCACGUUGGUUCCGACGAGACCACGAUUGUUGCUACAAGUACACGGGAGGCUACUGGGAAGCUAGGGAAAGAAAGGACUGGGAUGGGAUUCCGGACAUCUUCGGGCAAACCAUGGCUCGAGCAACCGAUUCACCAUCUCCUUCGGCUGAAGAAGACUUAGGAUAGAGGCCUCGUCUGCGUGUGUUUCAUAUAUAUGUAUCAUUGACUCUCCUUUAAGUAGUUGCACAGUUUGGUCGGAUGGGAAAGCUUAAUUAAACCAAACAAUACAAAGGCCCUCAUGUGAAUAGUUUGAGCUGAUAAUAUUAUAGUUGCCAUCUUUAGAAAUUUCGUAACUAAUUCAUAAAACAUCAAUGCAUAAUUUAGACUACCAAAUAAAACUUUCAUGAUCGUAUUAUAGUUCUUGACGGACAAAAUUGUUCAGGUCGGAGCUGGAGUCUUACUUCCAAGCUUUCUUUCCACGGAACUGCUUGCCCAAACGAUCGCUCUUCUUUAGUUUAUUUGCUCGGUUUCUGACGAUUGUUGAACGUUUUGCGGCCAGUGGCAUCUUCUUCUUGUGGUUCUUCUGCUGAUUGCUUAGACCUCCGGUCUGCACGAAAAAUGUAACAGUAUGGUUACUUGGCACAAUUUAAACGACAGAAAAGGCAGGAUAUAAACUCGGAGAUAGUAUGCAAACCUUGUUCUUUUUAAUAGCACUACGAGCUUGGUACUUUCCUCUAUCUUCCCUCCCGGCCUUCACGAGUUCUAGUCUUUCUGUCUUGUUCAUUUUGUGCCGGAUGUGAGCCUGUGAUAACGAGCAAGUUAGACUAACUCGCUAUCGAAAUAUCAAGGCUUAUAACUAUGCUCAUGUGAACUGAGUAUUAGCUUCGGUCUUACCUCAAGCUUGGAAGGAUCCAUAGGCUUCAUAGAUAAUUGGUCAGAUGAUGGAAGCUUGAAACCAUGUCGAAUCAGCACAAUACUGGCCUCCUUUUUCGCCUGCAAAGUAAAUAAAUGCAUACAAAACAAGUUAGCUAGGUUUUGAUUCGAAUAUCGAAUCUAUUCUAUUCUAGUAAUCCUCCAGCCAAAAUACCUUCAGUUCCCUAAUCCUUUUGAAAUCCUCUUGAGAAUAGAAACCAUCUCCCGGAUCUGAUGAAGGAGAUCUCAGAUUCUCCUCUGCUAGUUUUUUCAAAGCUCGAAGGCUUGUGUCGGCUGCAAUAAGCUCUCCGUUGAAAUCCGACCGCUUUCUCUUAUUCGAUUUAGAUUUGCUUACUUCGACCUCAUCAUCCGCUUCCUCUGGGUCACUAGACUCUUCUUCAUCUUCUCCCUCAUCCUCGUCAUCAUCUUCCUCCUCUCCGUCAUCUUCCCCACUGCCGAUUUCAUCCACAUUGUCGUCACUACCGUCAUCCAAAUCAGCUCGUAAAUCGUCAUCAUCACUUCCAUCUUCCUCGUCAUCCUGCACAGCAUUUUCCUCAUCAUCGCUGCCAAACAAUUCGUCAUUACUGGCAUCAUCAGGACAAGCAUCUGACUGAGAAUCGUCUCCAUCAUCUUCAGCGUCUUCAUCACUCUCGGUAUCAGCAGCCUCGUUUAGUAAUUCAAUUCCAGGAACAGCACUGGCUACAGGAGGAGCUUCUCCAUAAGCUUUCGGCUUUGCCUUUGGGUCUAUGGGUCGACCUCUAUCCUUCUUAACCAACAAUGAAGGGCAGAUCUGGAAAAUAGAUGAAGUAGAAAGAAAAGAAGAAUCAGCCAUCUCUCCAAGCAUAUUAGAUGGAAUAGAGUUAGCAGCAUGUUUUUCAUACCUCUCUGAAUAAGACCAUGAGUGAUCGAGCAGCUGCAGAAACAGCUUUCUCGUGUUGUUUCUUGUAUAACACGAGAUCCUGGAGCAAGUCUUCAGUCAUCAACUACACACCAAUGCGAAAAAUCAGUUUUACCCAUUCCUGCUGAGAUGCAAAGUCAAGAUCUUGACAGUCAAAUAGGGAAAGAAAACUUACCAAAGGAAUUCGCAGACAUAUUUCCCUGAUGACAUUAAGUCCAACAGCAAUGGCCUAAAGUAACAUGGAAUAAUCGAUGAUGCUAAGAAGUUUCAUGUACAGCCAAACUAAAAUUCAAAUCUGACAAAGAUAAUACCUCUGGACGGGAAUGAUCAUGUACAAACUGAUUAACGAUUUGUCUAAAUAAAGGUUCAACUGCAUCAGGAGGGACCUGUACAGAAACAAAAAAAAGUUGCACAUAUUAGAGAUUACGAAUAUCACAAGAAACGUGUUCUUGGAUCGGUUGUUAAUAUAAAUCUAUAUUACCAUAUCAUGACAAGCCUGAACCGCUGCGGCAAGCAAACUAGUGACAUCUCUUUGAUGUGGCUGAAGAAAUUCAGACGACCUCUGUUAACAUACCGUACCAAUUAUGGCAGAAAGAUUUCAAUGAAGGGACCCUAGUUAACUAAUUACCUGGCAAUACUUUUGCAGGAAAGGAUAGAAGUUCAACAAGAUCAAAUGGUGCAGCCCAAUAGUUCGAGCAAUGACUUUCAUCAGCAUCAUUUUAACCUGAGAUCAUAAGCAGAUCAUCAACACAAUGUUUUUAUCAUUUAUUCACUCCAUUGUAUAACUACUCUCUUUCCACUAUCUCCCGUUUUAGUCUUUUUUUCUUAGAAUCAUCAUGUUUCAGUGAAGUAGAACUUGAGUCUGAGUAAUCCCAGUAAUCACAAUUACCUCAAAACGUUCAUUGCAAGUCUUGAGACGAGAGAACAGUUUCUCGGCAAACCCCUGCAACAAAAUCAAAACUUCACUUAAGCCAGCUAUCUGUUUUCUCAAAGGAGUGAUGCAACAGGAAAGGAAAUAACCUGAGCAUCCUUGAGAUGGUUAAGAGGUGAAUAAUAAUUGGAACUGGUUUUCUCUGAUGCCAAGCGCUGCUGCCUUUUCAUGCUACGGACAGCACGCUCCAACUUUGCUUUCUUUUUCUUCUUACUAGCUGAAGUACCCGUUUUGGUUGCCUGGAAUGUAACUCAACAUAAUCAAGCUCUGAGCUUAUUAUCACAAACUAAUUGCAGUCUCACAAAUGGUCCAUGACUAUUGUAUACAAAAUCCAACAUCAUAAUCUAAUAAGCAGCUAACCUUAUAAAUAGCCUCUUUAUUAAUGGCAACUUGAGCAUGAAGCGGAUUGGCAUCAUCGUCGCUGCUCAUAUCUUCACUGUCACUGUUGUGAUCAUCUUGUAUCUUCUCAAAAUCCAAUACGAACGACAAAGCAGCAAUCAUGAUCCUAAGAAUACCAAGAAACGACUCACCCAGUCAAUAAUUCAAUAUUAUCAUUUAUACAUAUACAUCAGGGGGGAAAGAAAGGUACAUACCUUGAUGAAGAAUGGAAGCAAGCCAUGCAAAUCGCAUUAGCAGUUCUAUCAUCAAACCAAACCUUUCUCCUAUGAAGCUCACACAGUGUAAUGAGCGCUCUUUUCGCCAGAGAUUCAUCCUCUUGCUGUUGAAACGCACAAAUACACACUAAGCAUUCAUCCAAACAAUCCCACAACUAACUGAUCAGCUUCUUCAAACAGAGAAUAAGAACAAACCUGCAACAUUGUAAAGAGGAUAUUCUGAAGAGCACGAUUCUUGGCUUCGUUCUUAUGCUUCUUAUUCAUUCUCUUAAUACUAUUGACAACAUGAGAGAAAGCCAAAUUCCUCAAGUUCUUAUCUCCAACAAUUUGAAGCUCCAUAAACAACGCCAAAGCAUCCUUUAUAUCAACCAUCUGCCAAACCAAACAGGUAAAAAAAAACUAUGCACGCGCACAAAAAGAUGAAGCGAAUCAAUUAGCUGAAUGAAAUCAAUUCAGCACCUGUCGGUUGACGAGGAGAAUGAGAGCUUGAGUGGCGUUGCCCCUGAGUCCAAACGGCAGCGACCUGGCCGACGAUUUCAGAAAAUCGACGAGCUGUCCGGGGAACUUGGUGAGCUCCUUGGAGUAAAACGGCGCAACGUGAGAGAGGAACAUGGUGCGGUCGCCGAGCUCCUUGGCGAUGGUAGGGUCGGCGCAUACACCGGAGGCGGAGGCGAAGCUUAGAGCUGCCUGCUGCUGGAAUAGCUCGAGGGCGCAGUUGAACUGGCUGUAGAUAAGUGCCAGCUCCGUCGUGUAUCCUUCCGGGUCGAUCUUCAUCUUUGGUNNNNNNNNNNNNNNNNNNNNNNNNNNNNNNNNNNNNNNNNNNNNNNNNNNNNNNNNNNNNNNNNNNNNNNNNNNNNNNNNNNNNNNNNNNNNNNNNNNNNNNNNNNNNNNNNNNNNNNNNNNNNNNNNNNNNNNNNNNNNNNNNNNNNNNNNNNNNNNNNNNNNNNNNNNNNNNNNNNNNNNNNNNNNNNNNNNNNNNNNNNNNNNNNNNNNNNNNNNNNNNNNNNNNNNNNNNNNNNNNNNNNNNNNNNNNNNNNNNNNNNNNNNNNNNNNNNNNNNNNNNNNNNNNNNNNNNNNNNNNNNNNNNNNNNNNNNNNNNNNNNNNNNNNNNNNNNNNNNNNNNNNNNNNNNNNNNNNNNNNNNNNNNNNNNNNNNNNNNNNNNNNNNNNNNNNNNNNNNNNNNNNNNNNNNNNNNNNNNNNNNNNNNNNNNNNNNNNNNNNNNNNNNNNNNNNNNNNNNNNNNNNNNNNNNNNNNNNNNNNNNNNNNNNNNNNNNNNNNNNNNNNNNNNNNNNNNNNNNNNNNNNNNNNNNNNNNNNNNNNNNNNNNNNNNNNNNNNNNNNNNNNNNNNNNNNNNNNNNNNNNNNNNNNNNNNNNNNNNNNNNNNNNNNNNNNNNNNNNNNNNNNNNNNNNNNNNNNNNNNNNNNNNNNNNNNNNNNNNNNNNNNNNNNNNNNNNNNNNNNNNNNNNNNNNNNNNNNNNNNNNNNNNNNNNNNNNNNNNNNNNNNNNNNNNNNNNNNNNNNNNNNNNNNNNNNNNNNNNNNNNNNNNNNNNNNNNNNNNNNNNNNNNNNNNNNNNNNNNNNNNNNNNNNNNNNNNNNNNNNNNNNNNNNNNNNNNNNNNNNNNNNNNNNNNNNNNNNNNNNNNNNNNNNNNNNNUGGGGGGGGGGGGGAAAAAACCCCGCCGUUAUGAACUGUAAAGCCCUAAAUGAGAGGUUUUUAGCUUUGAGCUGGUAGCUCUGGUAAACUACACGAUUGGCACCCAAAAACUAAAGUAUUUCUCAAAUUAGUCACUGUUGUUUUUUCUCUUAUCAGGUUAUAUAGAAGAACACCCGCCAUGUAUACACACUUUUAUAAAAACAACAAUAGUCACAAAUUAGUCACUGUAAGAUUGUAUGCACUUCUAUGCAGGUUCUGUACGUAUCCUAUUCGAAAAGGGGGAAGGAUAGGCAAUGCUCGACACGAUACGAUAGAUAGAGCAUUGUAGUUGUGAUCGAGUAAUCUAAAAAAUCGGAAGUUCAGGAGGUUGGGAUACGAUUAACAAGCCGCAAGGUUGAUAUAAUUGGAUGCAAGCCAAUAUUAAGAAUCCGCAAUAUAAACAAUGUUUUGUUAGAACAGAUGAGAAGAUUCCAAUGUUUGUCUCAUUCUCUAACUAUAUUGUCGGAAUCUAACUUUCAUGUUCUACUACGAAAUUGUUCGAUAUUGUUUAUGCACUUUUUUUAACUUUAUGAGACGUUACACAUAAAACGCCUAGCUAAGAUUUCAACUUACGAGACUGCAGAAGACCUCAACAGGGAAGGAGAACCUAGUCGAAAUACAUUUUUUUGAAAAAAACAUUAAUACUUGUAAUGAUGGCAAAAUACAGAAACUAGCAGCAAAAAUACAUGUACUAGUAUCAAAAUACAAGCAUUAUUUUUCAUAACUUUCUUACAGUACAAAGAGAACUCUAAAUAGCUACAAACUAAUCCUUAACCGUAGAGCCAAGAAGAAAGGUUGAUCGAUCACCGAUGGCGGUCUUGGAAGAUACAUAAGAGCCUUGUUUGCAAUCGAAUGGGCGUCACCCAUUCGCCGAACUUCGAGACUGCUGCUUUGAGGUGAAUUCAAGCACGGCACUGAUUUCAGCAAGAAUAGUUCCAAUUAGAUGAAUUGCAAUCCUGACAUAGUAAGAUACAGAGCAUACAGACUAAAGGUAGUGUUCACCUGAAUUAGUAGUUUAAACUUUAAAGUGCAGGAAGAGUUGGCCAUGGUGGAAGAGACAACGUUACAGUAUUCAACCAGGGGCACAUUCUAUCGGACGACACUUCCAUCACUUCCAUCGUCCGAUCUCGAAAAUUGCACUUGAGGAACGAAGAAUUAAUGCUCAUAUACGCGAUCAUCGGAUCGCUAGGGUGCAUAGUCAAGAACCGGAUAGAUGGCUGACCAUAACCAGACGGGGUACCAGUCCAGUCAGUGCCAUUCCUUACACCAUCCAGUAGCUGCUGCUGCACUGAACUUGAACUACAGUGCAUCUCAUUGCAAGCAUCGACAUCGUGCUCUAGACCCCACAUGCCAUUUACGAGCCUGAACACCCUCACACAUCCGUUCAAAGUUUGACCUAUCCAAAAUGAUCCUUGGCAUACGAUAAGCCUGUCAAAUCCCACCCAAUGCCUAGUCGUACCUCGAGGGAUGUACAAUCUUUCUGCAGGAGGACCAUUGGCAACAUGCUCUCUGAGAAGCUCGUUAGUCUCAGGAUCAUAGAUCAUAAAGUCACAGUCAUGUAGGAGCCAAUAUAUCUUCCCCUUGUGCGAAACCGGGGGACAAUGGAUACAAACGACACUUCCGAUGUCGUCCGGUAAUUCCAAGGUAGACCAUCCUGUCUUUGAUAAGAACACCUCUGCUGAGAUCUGCAGAGGGUCGCCAUCUCGUUGAGGAUCAGUUAACAGCAGACGAACAAGCUUUAAACCAAACCGAUCAUUCACAAUGGAAUCAUUGACGUUGUAGAACGAAUCACAAAUAAACCCCACACCAAUCGUAUAUUUUUGCUACGAGGAGGAAGCGGGACGGCAAGCCACUGCCUAGUGAGAGGGUUGCAUAUGUAAUACUCGGUAUACCUCAAGUUGUUUGGGGAGCAUACUAGCAAGCCAUUGUUAGAUGCUAACAAGACCUUGCAAAGAAUCAAUAUCUCUUUCGUAGAAGAAACCAACUCAUGAAAGAAAGGGAGGAAGUCCAGUGAGACUUGGGAAGCACUAACAGAAAUGCUGCAGGAAGGUUGUACCAGAAUCAUUUCAUUUCGAUUCGUCACCACAGGGAUCAUCUGUUUCUGCUGCAGAUCACCAUUCUUUUCCUCAUUCCAUUGAACAAAUCGGCCUACGAAACACGAAUCUUUGUCCUGUAUACACGAGAGCCACAGCGUGAAAACGGACUUGCAUUGGAACACAUGCCUCAACGGGAGCCUAGCAAGAACUUCCACCAGUAAAUGAAGUGACAGAACAUCGUUGAUGCACAACGAUGGUGAUAAUCCAGCCAUUGAUGGAGAAAAAAGUCCCCAAUCUUCUUCCGGCAUUCAAUUUUAGCUAAUCCUAGUCAGUUGAUUAUGAAGUCAGCCAUCUUUUCGUGAGUAAGCUUCUAAAACCCUAAAAGUGAAACUACCGAUUAACAAACAAUCAGCAAGUAAAGUCCAACAAAAUCAAACCUAGCGAUAUGGUUCCAACAGAUUGCAAAUUACCAAUGAUUGAAGUAAACAGAAAAGUAACUUACAGCUAGACUGAAGAAGCUUCGACGGGAAGGGUGUAGACGGCGGUUUUGGGAGUUUACCGGAGAAGGAACGGCGUGUUGGGAAUCCGGGGGAUGAUGAAACGAAAACUGAGCAAAUAUUUUCCCCUUGAUAUUUUAAACGAAAACAUUAACAGAUAUCAAACUUUAUGGGCCUCAGAAUUCAUUUCGGCCCAGUCACUAAAUAAAGCAGGCCUGUAAAAUCAACCCAUUAGCGGAGUGGAAACGACACGUCGUUCCAACGGGUCGCCGGAUUAUCUACUUCACCCAAGUCAAAAUCGCCCGGGAAAAUUGGAAAAAUCCCCUUCGCCGCCGCGAAGCCGCUAAAAAAUGAACCUCCAAUGCUUAACCACCAGAACGGCAACCACCGCCGCCGCUAUAACAAACUGCCGGCAUCAAUUCAUCUGCCAAAUCUCCACAAACUCCCCGGUCAGUUUCCAUGCCACCGCUACUUGAAAAUCUCAAUCUUUAUGCCCCCUUCCCCACUUCCAAUUGGCCUUCCAAUUUCUAACAAUUUCCGCCGUUAGGGUUCCGGCGAAGAACUCGUUUCGAAGCUUCUCAAUAGGAAAUGGGCGUUAGGGAAUCCGGGUUCAGCGUUCCAUCGAAUCCAGCUCUCCCCUUCGCCUCAAUUGUCCCGCAGUUGUAGUUUAAGCUUAUCAGCUGGAGAACCGGGAGUCGAAAAUAAGCGUAAAGGUCCCUCCUUUUACGUUGUUCGUGACGAUUUGCUGCAUCCUCUGGCCAACGGAAACAAGGCCAGGAAGUUAGACGCCCUGAUCCCUCUCCUCCGUGCCAAUUCCGUCACCGAUGUGGUGAGUAAUAUUAGAAUUGCUUAAUUGUUGCGCGUCAAUAGUGAAAACUGAGUAAAUGUUGAACAAUUUCCCAGGUCACAUGUGGAGGAUGCCAGAGUGCACAUACUGCAGCUGUAGGUAAACUAACACUAAUCCUAACUGGUGGACAUUCAGAGUUAUGUUUAGGCUGUCUGAAAUGUGCUUUGUGAGGAUUGUUUCUUUUGAUUCUGCAGCUGUUUUGUGUGCUGAAAGAGGGAUAAGGUCACACCUGCUAUUGAGAGGGGAGCAGCCUGGGAUUCUGACUGGUUAUAAUCUCAUCUCCACAAUGUAUGGCCAUGUCACUUACGUGGCGAGAUCGGUGUAUGCAGAUAGGGAAGCUAUGCUGAAGAGCCAUGCUAAUAUGGUUGCUGGUAGCAGUGGUCGUGUGCUGCGGUGUAGCGAUAUCUCGGAGGCUUCUUUCGAAAAUGAGCAAUCCAGGGAGGACGAAUGUCCAAGAAAGGUUUUGAUUAUCAAUGAAGGAGCCGGUGAUGGUGUAGCAUUGCUUGGUGAGUGGUAAAUGUUCCUAAUUCCUCUGUGUUUGUUGGUUCACCAGUUAGUCCAGAAGUUCUUCAGUUCUUUAGGCUUUGAGCUUGUUUCACAUUGUCCAUUCUGUUAAUGAAUGUUAAACCAGUUUGUGAACUUCUCACAACAACUCGAGUUAUUGGAGUGCAAUGAUUCUCCUCAUCCAUGAAAUGCUUAAAGCCUUUGAUUUUAGCUGUAAAGUUGAAAUCUUAUGAUUAUUUAAACCACUAACUAGCACCGUGUGUUCCAUUUUUCUGCAGGUCUAAUCCGCUUGGUCAACUACCUAUCUCAGGAUCAUCUAUUAGGAAAAUGCAGACCGGCAACUUUGAUCGUAGACUCCGGAACUGGCACAACAGCUAUUGGUUUAGCACUUGGAGCCUUAUGCUUGAGGUACAUCUCAAUCUUUCCAGUUUCCCAUCGUGUUCCGAAACAUGUUACUUACAAUCCGCCACAUUACUUAAAACUCACAGACUUCCAUGGAAGGUAGCUGCAAUCAUGCUAGCCGAUGCAAUCGACCAACACAAAGUCAAGGAGAACCGUCUUCUCUCCGAAUUCAGUACACGUUACGAAGUCCAUCUUGACCACAACGAUCUCGAGGGACUCGUUCAUUGGGUUCCGCGGCAGCGUCCGAGAAAGUAUGUACACGCAACUCCUGUCACUCAUUGAUCACAUUCAUUGAUGGUUUGUUUACAUUCUAUUUUGUACAGAUUUGGGAAGAUAUUGGAAGGGGAGAUGGAGAAAUGCCAGGCGAUUGCGAGGCAAACCGGAGUUCUGGUUGAUCCUGUGUACACUCUGGCAGCCUGGGAAAUGGCGGCUCAACUUAGCACGGAAGAAGAAGAGGAAGAGAGGGUGGUGGUGAUGAUUCAUACAGGGGGGACUCUUGGUUCGUUUGGUUUGGCACAGAGAUACAAGUCUCAGUUUGCUAACCUGUAGAGUGUUGUAUUAGAAUUCUAUCUGAAGAACACAGUAAAUGAGCUUGGAUAUGGAGAGGAAUGCCUGCAUGGGCUUGAAUUCUUUCUUUCACAAUCUGCCAUGGAUCAUGACAAGUUAUCGUAUGGGGAAAAAAUGUAAAGUUUAUUGAUUCGUAAAACCUUAUUAAUUAUGGUAGUACACUACGUUUUUUAGUUUUUCCAUUGCAGAUCGAUGUGGUUGUGAACUUUAGACAAUUUCGAAGCAACCUUAUAAGAAGUUGGAAAUUCUAAAUUGACGGUCUGGUCUGGAGGGUCGAGUCUCGAGACACUAUAAAGAGCAGGCCCGUCCAAUGACAUUUGUUGGUCUACCGAUCAGCACAGGAUUUCAAUUUUAAAAGGACCUCCAAAUUUAUCAUGAUUUAAUAUUAGAUAUAAACUCAAUAUCUAACCAACCCAUUUUUUAAACUGAAAAUGGUCAAUGAACGUCCCAGCUCUGGUAAAUAGUCGAUGGGCCUCCACAUUUUAUGUCAUAUAUGCCCAAUUUAGUUUUUUCCUUUUCUGAAUUCCUAUUUUUUAUUUUCUUUUAAGUGUUUUAUUUGGGGAACAUAGUUAAUUAUUUUUUGACAGAAAGUAAAUAAGUUGUUUUUUUCUCAAUGAGAUAUGAAGGUCAAUAUACCAUAGAAAAAAAGAAAAUAAAUAUUUUAAUGGUGUUUAUAUGUGACGUGUGUUAGAUUUAAAUUCAAAAUUUAUUGAUUAGCGAUACAUAAUUUUAUCACUAAAACAACUCUAUUUAAAUAGAAAAUAAGCAAUUCAAUGAUCGGAAGCAUAACUCAUUUCUAUUUUAGUGUUUUUUUCAUUCUUCUUUGUGUCCGAAAAAAUUUGAAUUAAAUCAUUUUUAGGGUCACAUACAAAUUUUGGCACAGGACUUCACAAAAUCAUUAGAUGGUUCUGAUAAAGAAGUCUAAGGUUCUUUUUUCAAGGCACACCUGCCACACACACAAUCAUUUCAAAGGCUACUCGUCAUUGGAUAUAAAAUUUGUAUGAGAUAAAUUAAACACAUUUCCGUACUUUUAAUAAAGGAAUUACUACAUAUCAAUAAAUCGCAACUUUUUAAAGAACAUAAUGAUACAAUCAAACAAGAAGACUAGUUUUAGAAUCAUUGUUUUUGGUGUUUCAAGAACAAGAUGGUCAAGACUCAAAUGAGAGAGAACCCCCCAUAUGAAUGACCAAAGUGAACCUUUGAGACAGUUUUAAUUGAUCUCCUCACAUUUCUAGUAUAAAAGGGAAGCUGGUGCAUCCCAUUUCAAUCAUCCCUCUCUUUUUCCUUCCUGACUUUUUGUACUCUUUUCUUUUAGUAGUGUUGUAGUGUAGCACUUUUCAUUUGUUUAAUAAUUGAGAUAAGUUAUCUCAAUUGGGUAGAUAGAUGAGUGAUAGAAAGUCUCGGUAACUAUUUUACUGUGGUAACAAUUGGUUAUGACAUUCAACUAGUUGAAUCCCCAACUAAUUUCCAUAUGCACUAAAUUGAAGAUACUAAUUGUUUUAUUAUUAUUUUAUUUCAUUAAUUUCCCCGAAACCAACAGAUUUCAACAUCUAUAUAACCCUUUCGUUGGUCCGAAUUAGUCGUGCAGAACUGAUAUGGAAGCAUCAAUAAUUUUGCUACAACAUGCAUGAGAUCCUAGGAUGUAAAGACAAGGACAUAAGUAGUGAACACACUCUUUGUAAAAUUAUUUGCCCUGAGACAAUUAAAAUUCCUUAUUUCGAUAUUUUUGACACAUAAAAUUAUUUUGUAACAAAAAAACUGUAUCUAGGAUGCAAAUAAAUGUAAAUAUGGUGCUUUGUAGUCCAGCACUAACAAUAGAGGUUGAAAUCUCUAUUUGGCAAAGUCUUGACGCUCGAGUUCAAGUCAGGCAUGUCAAGAAGUGAAUAGGUCUCCUAAGAUGUAAACCUAUCUUAAAAUAAAUAAACGUCAACCGAUAUAAAUCUCAAGUUAAGUAGGGUAAAUAAGAACACAUAAUUAAAAUCAUAAAAUAACAUUGGUUCAAACUUUUAAAGACAGAAGAAAGUAAACAAAGGAAUAAGGAAGGGGGUGUAUACUGUAUAUUGUAUGUAUGCAUGUAUGACUGUAUAGUGUCUAAGCUUUUGGGAGUUGGCCCAUGAAUUCAUGUGUAGACAGUGGGGUACAAAGCUAGUAGCCAACAACACUACACAACAUAGUUAAAACUAUUUAAAGUGAUUAAGGUUGUGCAUGUGACAAUUGUUGUGGCAUUAUUACAUGUCUAUUAAUUAAUUAUAUAUGUGGGUUUUCUCACUACAAUCUUCUCUCAUUUAUCAUAAAAUCCCCUAAAUUAAUUAGAUUAGAACUCCACCAAAAGGGCAAUCAAAAAGGUGUGGUGUAUUUGUUUAUGUACAAAAUGAGAGAUUGUGAACGAUAAGUUGCUAGCUAGCUAGGGUUUCAAUACUAUAUGAUUUGGUUCUUGCACUCUGAUUAUGUGCAUGGUGCUAUGGGUGUUUAUUCGUUGUUGCAUUAGCUAAGGCAAGAAUGCCUCUUUAAGCUAUACGUGAGAGAGAUUAUAUACGCAUCAUCGGUAGGAGAAUUAAUUUCGUUACUGCAAUUUGCUUUGGUGUGUUAUUGGCACUGGUCAUUUUGGUGCACAUAAUCAACAUGCUCGCAUUAGAGAACAAUGUAUAUAUAGGCCAGGUGCAUGUUUGUAACGUCUGAUAAGUCGUAGAUUAAAGAAAGAUGAUGUAAGCAAGUACAUACCUAAAUGAUGUGUUUUCCUUGAGUUACAUUUGAAAUCCUUACAUAUUCGUAUUAAAAUGCAUUUACUUAAGUAUACAACUCGACAUCAUAUAUUUUGAUUCUUUUUUCAAAUAAGAUAUCUAAUCUACGAUAUAGUUUAAACCAUCACCAACCCAUCUAAUCAAAUAAUUAAAAAGUCAAAUAUGACUUAAUGUAUGCUUCAAUGUGCUAUACAAACAGGGCUAUUUGGCCAAAUCAACAUAUAAACUAGCCAAAUUUGACAAGAAAGAGAAAAAGGUGCUAUACAUUUUUAAUUAUAUAUGUUGGACCAUUUUCUGUUAUUUUUUUCUUUUUUACAUUACAAAUAAUUAGAUAAACGCUAAGUAUGGAUCGAAAUAAGGUGUUGUUGCCAUCUUACUACAUAUUGAUCACCAUCUAAUGUGUGUAUUUGGAAUGCAUGUUUAAAAAUAGAAAAUACGUGUUUGACGAAUUGACCUAAUAAAAAAAAAUUACAACCAAAUCAAAAAAAAAUUAUAACAAAAUAUUCAUAUAAAUAUUACUUAUCUAAAAAUAAUUACUUCAUUAUCAAAUUUAAUUAUCUAUAUGUACACUUAUUUAGUUGUAAGGAAAAUUAUAAAUGGCGAGGGCCAAAUUUGGCUAUUGUUGGGUUGGAGCAAAUCAAGAGUUCAAUUUAAUAAAUUUGUCUUUUAGUGGUCUUAAAUUUGACAUUUUACCUUGUUGGGUUAGAGAUAGUCUUACAAUCAAAGAUGGUAACAUUAUACAUACACGCUCUUAGCCCUACUUAACUAGUCAAAACAAUCAAUUCCAGUCACAUAAUUCGAUAUGUUGAUCACUCAAUUUAUAAAAGUACAUAUGGAGUUUCCAACUAAAUAUAGACAACCGAAACCGAACCCGUAUAACACACUCUCACACGUACACCACAAUCAAAUCCAUUGCCGAUUUCAUCCAUGUUCAAACUCCAAAAAGAUGUAUUGGAUGUAGCCAAGGCAAGCCAGGUGGGUGGAUCAAAUGUCUUUGUCAAUAGUAAAAAGAGAGAAAAAGAAAGUCAUAGAACCCAGGGAGACUUUCCUUUUGUUGUUUUCUCAUCAUCACCAUAACUGCAGAAACUUAACCUCUCAGGUUUUUUGGACAUAGCUAUAGCAGCAGCCUUUUCUUGGCUAGAAUUCAAAACCCUACAAAAGAAACGAACAAUGAUCCUGCAGGGGAAUUCCAUGAUCAAGAGUCUUAGUAUCCUUAGUAUUGACCGUUGAGGGUUAUAUGUGUAUUUAUUUAUGUAAUGCUCAAUACAAUAUUAAAAAAUAUAAUUGUACAUACACUUAUGGUAACAUCAUAAUGAUUCUUUGCGAUAACAUUAAACGAAUAUAUCCAACAUAACACCCAAUCCUCGUGACUAAUCAAAUACGAAACGGUUUAACAAAUGGCAACUAAUUAACAAUUGCCAAAGAACAGAAUGAUGGACAUAACUGUAAAUUCCCCUCCUCCUCCCACCUGUGAAUAAGAAGAAGCAAAAGGGCAUAGGAAAGGACACUUUUCAUAGGCAACUUUAGCUUGACCAUAAAAAGCAGAGGAGAAGACGGACAGAAAUUGUGAAAAAGAAAAGCCAAAACCAUAAACACAUUCUCUUCCUUCCACCACUGCGCUACAGUGUAUCUCACAGCCUUUGAUAAUACUCCCAAAAUCAACAACAGAGUGAGACACAGACAGAGAUUUUGAGAGAGAGAGAGAGAGAGAAAUUUUCCUUUGCAGAAGAAAAUAAACAAAUCCAGCUAAGACCUUCUUCAUAUAUUGUCUUGUCAACAAAUACCCACAUCCCCAAAUCUUGAAUCCCCGUCGAAAAUUCAGAGAAAGAUCCAUCCUUUUUCUUCGCCGGAAUCCGUCAUGGGAGACGCCGGCGGUGGUUUCUUCCGUUUCCCCGCCUCCCUCGACCCUCAAGCGCAAGAGUUCCGUCCCCGGGACCACCACCACCACGUCAUCACUCCACAUCACCUCGCCGUCAUCCCGUCUCCCCCCCAACCCUUCAACCACCAGCCCCCUCCUCCCCCCCCCCUGCCGGUACCGUUGCCGUUCGUAGGUGGUGGAGCGGUGAUUGGGUACCAACAUGAUCCUUUCCUCAACCAUAGUAAUUACGACUGUACAACUCCCCGGGAGGGUUUCAAUCGCCGGGUCAUCGGCGGAGGCGGAGAGCUACUGCCGCCGGCUGUUGCUCCGACGAGGGCGAUUCUCAUAUGCUCGCUUCCCGUCGACGGAAGGGUUAGCGAGACGCUGGUCCGGCGAGAAUUGGAAGUGUUCGGCCCGGUGAGGGCCGUCCAGAUGGAGAGAAUCCGCGACGGGAUCGUCACCGUCCACUUCUACGACCUCCGCCCCGCUGAGGCGGCGCUGGAGCCGACCCGCGACCUCCGCCACGCUGAGGCGGCGCUGGACGCCAUCCGAGACCACCACCACGAACACAUGCACAACAACAACUGUCGCCGCUGCCGUCCUUUCUCCGGCUGGUCCACAGUGUGGUCCCAGUUCACAAUCCCGUGUAUUCAUGCCAUGCCUGAAGGUCAAAACCAAGGGACGAUCGUCGUCUUCAAUCUCGACCCAAACGCCUCGGCAUCCUACCUCCGACACAUCUUCCAAUCCUACGGUAUAAAUAAAAUUUUAAAAAAAUCUUUAAAUUCUCCUUUUUUUAAGCGCGCAAAGUGUUCGACGAAAUGCCUAAACGAAUUUAUAUACUUUUCCGUCCGCUUUAGGACCGGUGAAAGAGAUUAGAGAAACGCCGAUGAAGAGGCAGCAGAGGUUCAUCGAAUUCAACGACGUGAGAGACGCCGCCAAGGCGUUGAGCAACAUGAACGGAAAGGAGAUUCUGGGGAAGCCAGUAGUGAUCGAGUUCAGCAGACCUGGCGGGUUCAACAGGAAGUUGUCGUUCAUCAAUUCAUCUUCCUCCAAAAUCGGUACUCCCAAGUUCAUCCCGUUUUCUCCGCCGGCGAGGAAGUUUAACAACAGUCCUCCUCCCCCAUUAGCUCCCCCGUUAGCUCCUAGGCAGAUUCUGAAGAGGAAUUCGAGCAUUGAGUCACCAAAGAAAGGGAUAAUGAAGUUCAGCCAAAGUAAGCCAUGGAAAGGUUGGAAAGCUGGGAGAAACUAUAACAAAUUAUAUGAUAGCAGGUUCUUGAUAAACGAUGAUGAACCAAUCGAGGAAUCAUCUUCAUCAUCAUCAUCGAAGAAUUGGAGUAGCAGUAGUAGUACUGAUUUGAGAACUACUGUAAUGAUCAAGAACAUACCCAACAAGUACAGGUAUGAAGCUUAAAGCUUUUGUUCAUACAUAAGGAUUUGUUUGUAAAUGUCAAAUGAUUGGUUUUUCUUGCAGUCAGAAGCUGCUGUUGAACAUGCUGGACAACCACUGCAUUCACUGCAAUGAACAGAUCGCCAAUCAUGAUGAUAAUGAAGAUGGAGAAGAAAAGAAGCAUCCUUUCUCAUCAUAUGAUUUCGUAUAUCUCCCAAUUGAUUUCAAGUAAGCCCCUUUUGUUUAAUUUUUUUUCUCUCUCUAGGGUUUUGUGCAGAAUUUGAAAUUGGGGUUUUUGAAUUUCUCUGGCUAGCAACAAGUGCAAUGUGGGAUAUGGGUUCGUGAACAUGACAUCGCCAGAGGGAGCAAGGAGGCUGCACAAGGCUUUCAACAACCAGCAUUGGGAGGUUUUCAACUCCAAGAAGAUCUGUGAAGUCACCUAUGCUAGAGUCCAGGUUUUAAUUAAUAUAGUUCAAUCCCAAAUUGAAAGAAGUUCCCUUUUCCCUCUAAUUACAUGUAUAUGACUGUAAACAGGGGUUGGAGGCAUUGAAGGAGCAUUUCAAGAACUCCAAGUUUCCAAGCGAGGUGGAGCAUUAUCUCCCGGUGGUUUUCUCCCCGCCUAGAGAUGGGAGCCAGUUGACUGAGCCAGUACCCAUUCUUUGCUUAAAGCAGCAGCAGAGUGAGGAAGGAGAAGACGUAGGGGUGAUGAUGCGGAAUACCGUUCUUGAAGAUGGUCUGAAGAAGAAGUGCAGUUUGGUUGGAGAAGGGAACGGCGGCGGCGGAAGGAGGAGGGAUGGGAUUAGUGACAGUGACAGUGACAGCAGCAGUAGCAGCAACAGUGGAAUUGUGAGCAAGAGAUAGUGGUGGCGAAACAGUAGAGAUAUAUAUAAUAAUAUGAUAGAUAUAUGAGAUAAUGGGACAAUAGGGGGAGGAGAUAGUGUGUGUUAUGUUAUAAUAUUUUGGAAGAAGGAAAGUACAUUUGUCCCAUGUUUUGUGAAUUAAUAAUGUUGUGUUACUACAAUAUUUAUGUUAUAAGCUUAGCUUAUAUAUUAUAUUUUAUGGUUCAAUUCGAUUUUAUUUUUAAAAUUCGACCAACUAAUUGAGUACAAUUCUUACAAUUUCUUAGCUAUGGUUCAACUCAGAUUCAAAAUCAAAUAAAUUAUAUUGAUUUAACUAGACUCAAAGCUAUAUAAAUUAAAAGAACAAGUCAAAUCAUAAACAUAGCAAAUUUUGCAUUGAUGAUGAAGAGACCUCUAUCUCCCAUCACCCGCCCCCAAUUUGCUUCACUCGUCCAAAAGAUUGUGUUAGUUAUGAUGAAGAUAUCCUUUUUUUUCCCUUCCUAUUUUCGCCGGAAGAAGGCGGCCCCCGCCGGAGGAUGUGAACAAUUGUCGUUUGACUUUUCCCCUGUCCAUAGCUUCUGACUACUGACAAUGACCGGCUUGCUGAUUCAUGUGGGGACCUCCGGUCAGUGAAGAAUUACCUGCAAUCUUUAUUUACCGCCACGUAAUUUUCAUGAUGGGUCCCUCUCGGUCCAGAUGUCGUGGGGGAUCACCACGUGGAUAGUCCUGAUCAUCCCCACGUAGGCACGUCCUCCUCGCCUCUUAUGUUUUGCUUUGCCACUAAAGACAAAAAGAAGAACUAUUAAGCGUGGCGUGGUUGGUUGGUUGAUAAUUGAUUCGUUUUUUUUUUCUAUCGUUUUGGGCUCUUGUAAGCUCAAGUCAAUGGGCUUACGGAGUGGCAUGAUCUGCAAUUUAAUCGAAUUGGAAAACUACGGGCUGGGUCUAUAGAACAAUAACCAGGCCCAAUAUUUUCUAUCGGGCUGACUGAUUUAGAUUUUGAGACAAAGAAACACAAGGAACUGGCAAUUUAGGUCAGUUGGGUAAAGUUGAACGGGUUAUUUUAAAUUACGGGUUGUUUUGGGUUGGGUCAUUUGGGUCAUAAGUUGUUGCUUUUGAAAAUUGACGCUAAUCUUAUAAUUUUGGGUUGGGUUGCAGGUCAUUUCGGAUUACAAUCGUUUUGAAUCAUAACAAAAUUAUAAUCAUCAUUGCGAAAAAAUUAUUAGGAUAAAUAUACUAAAUUUGACUAAUUCAAGUUAAAUUGAUAAAUGAAGGUGGUAAGAAAUAGAAAUAGGGAUAUAAUAGUUCAUAGCGAAGAAAAUAAACAUAUAAAGAAAAUGCAAGUUAACGAUGUCAUUUAUGCCCAACACAUUUACAUGAAUGAUGUUGAGAGGAUGGACAAACUAAAUAUUNNNNNNNNNNNNNNNNNNNNNNNNNNNNNNNNNNNNNNNNNNNNNNNNNNNNNNNNNNNNNNNNNCAUGAAUUAUAUAAUAUAUAAUAAAAUAAAAUAAAAUAAAAAUAUCACAAAACAUAAAACCAUAAUCAUAAAUACGACUACAUAUUAAAAAUCCAGGAUGAUGUUAAACAUAGUAAUUUUUAUAUGCAAUAUAAUAUGUUUCGGGUCAAUCGAUUCAAAAUCCGACCCUAACCCACAAAAAUAUCGUCGAUGCCCAUAUGAGUUUGCAAUUGGGCUUAGUUCGAGUAGGCAUACACCCGUUGCAUUCAUUCAUCUUACUUUGAAUUUGGGCUUAUUCAAAAUUAAGCCCAUACGAUUCUGACUUCACCUCUCUGAACAGAUUCAUUUUCAUCAUUUUGACGAGCCCUAUUCAAAUCCUUCCAAUUCUAUCGAACUCGAACCCUACUGAUUCUCUAAAGGUUGAAGAAACGAUUUCUUUGAAUCGAUCUUUGCCAUCCGAUUGCCAGCUGCAAUAUUAGUGCGUCGGAUUCCUGCGUCUUUCUGUGUGCUUGGAUGUCAAGAAACUCAUUUGCGAGGUAAGCUGACGAGUGAUUUCGAGAUUCUAGUAUCUAUCCCCUGAAUCUCUCUUUCCAGUUUCAAGUUGAUGCUCACUGUCGAUAGAUAAUUUUAUAUAUGUUGCUGAAAAUUGGUCAGGAUUUCUGUGGUUUGAAUUUGAAUUUUCCAUCAAUGGCUCGGGCGGAUUCACCUGCUUUAUUAUGCAUCAAUGAUGUUCUGACUCCUCAUCUACUGACUGAAAUAUUGACUCGCGUUCUUUGGGUCGAUUUGUUUGGGUGUAAGAAUGUCUGCAAGCUCUGGCUCUCUUGUAUUGAUGAUAAUCCUGCUUUUGUUGGCGGUUUUUUUCUCCAGAGGGUUAGAGAAGUGUCCCAAUUGAAUGAGGAAGAUAAGCAGCUGAACCAUGUCCAGUGGGAUCACUGUCAAAUCGUGGCGUUAAAUACCACCUGUUAUUGUGCUGAUGCUUCUAAAUUCUCUCUGGAUUUCCUCCCUAUACUGGAAGGCUUGGAUCUUCGCCAUAGCAGCUUGAAAUACAUAGUAUUGGGAUCAUCAAAUGGCUUGCUCUUGUGCACCCGUGGCAUAGGCUCCGGUGAGAGAUACUGCAUUUGCAACCCGAUUACUAAGAAAUGGCUCGAGCUCUUCCCGUUCCCUCCUUGUGAUGACAAUAUGGACGUUAAAGUUGGUUUCGUAUGUGAUCCAUUCUACCGUUUCAACGAGGAUGAGGGUUCGGUCAGUGUGAAUGGUCAAUUUGGAUUCAAGGUGGUUCGUUUUUAUGCCUCUCGUUACAACGAGGGUGAGGGUAUUCGCGAUGUUAACGCGGAGCUGUUCUCAUCGCAGGCGGGAUGCUGGACUACUACUUAUGGACUACCAUUACCAGACCAUAUCGAUGGUAUGAUUGAAAUUCUUAUUGAAGGGCACAUGGUUGACUGUAACGGGAAGCUUUACUGGAUUGUGGAACAUGGGUAUGAUUUUCUGGUCUAUGAUGCCAUCAAGAGUGAGUUUUAGAUGGAUCGCCUCGACCCUCCUUCAAAUGCAUUGCAAGAUAGAUGGUAUGAUCGAAAGAUAUCUCAGUACAGUGGGCUUACCAUAUGUCAAGGCUUGUUAUGGGUAGGACAAUGUGUGGGUAGACGACUAAGAGUAUUCGUGUUUGAAGAUGGCCAGUGGUGUCUCAAAGCAUGAUGUUGAUGUCCUUGCUAAUAUGCAAUGGCAAUGCAGUUGGGCGGUGGAAGUUCGAGCGUAUGCAUCCCAGUGAUCCCAUGGUAGGGUAUCUGUCCACCAAAGACAUGUUGCUAGAAUGCAAUUUUGGAAGCAAAACCGUGAUAGUGGUGUUCGACAUCGAGGAAGACUCAUCUGGGGAACUCUUCUACGUGUUGCCCAUUUAUCUUCCACUUUGGCCCACCCCACUUCCCAUGGUUUCCAAAUGCUCGAGUAGCUGUGCUCUUAGUGUCCUUGGUUUGGUGCCUAUCUAGUUUGCUUGGUUAAAGUUUCAAAUUCAGGUUUCCCGAUCAUCUACUAGUUUGAUUCGUUCAGUUUGAUCAUCUGCUAACAGUUUUUUAAAUCAUGCACUAUGGUUUAUGAACACAAAUUUCAACUAUUUGCAUUGUAGCAGAAAGGUUUAAGGGACCAAAAAUUAGCAGUGUUGUGAUAAUAACAUAACUUCCAAUUUAGAGAAUAAUUUUUUUUCCGUCAUACACCCUUUCCAAUUAACACCCAUGAAAUCAGAUCCUGACUACGCAACUAAUUUCUAUACUGUCGAAUUGAUUACCUCCAAAUCACUAACACACGAGCGACCAACUCGCUACUCCACGAAAACUUGCUAUCAAAUUGAAAAAAGAAUAUCAAAUCGGCUAUUUAAUUUUCGGCGUUGUCUUUGAAAACUUAAAAGGCCACUACAAAUACUAAUUACUGAAUUUGCUUGUGAAAAACCUCAUUCAAGAUUAAAAAAAUAACUCUAUUUUCUCAUAGUAUCACUGUACUGUUCAAGGUAUAAUAUAACUUCUACACAAGAAAUAAAUAACCACAGCUGAAAUUUGAUCCUUUAAUAAUUAAUAAACACAUGCAUGCAAAAGAUUAAACCCUAACCCCUAGCGCACGUCAAUCACUCCGACGACAACUUCUUGCUACCUUCCUUCUUCCGCACGCAACAUAUAACGUAGUCCUCGAUACCACCACCACACCUAUCUGCCAAAACCCUACCAAGACGAUACUCAUGCAUCACCCAUUCCCCAGCCUCCGAAGAAGAACUCGAACUCGAACCACCACCGUGAUUGAUGACCUUGUAAGAGAAAGACCUAUCGAAACCGAUGGUGGUGGACUCGCCGUCGGGGGUGUGCCGUCGGUGCUGUAGACUAUAGGCUCCUCCUUCUGCGACUUCCACAUGCAGUUUCCGAAGCUCCUAUCGACUCGCUUGCCCUUCUCGUUCUUCUUCUUCUUCUGCUUGGUGAAGAAGUAGAGCUCCGACUCGUUGACCUCGUCCUUGAAGUGUCUCUUCCAUGGCUCGUCGGGGGAGUAGAGGUCGCACUCGAUUAUACCGUCGAAGGGCGGAGGAGGGUGGUUGAGGUUCACGGUGGCUCUGAUGGCUAACGGGUAGAGGUAUGUGAGGAUUAGUUCUUGGUCCGAUGGUUUGAAUCGGUACCCUACUGCUAGGUUCUUGAUCUUCAUUCUUGCAGCAAGAUGCAAAUCAAGUAACUAGUUGAUUACUAGUGAUUAAUUAGGGAGAGUGAAGGUUUAGCUUAGGUUAAUUAGUGUGUUAGUUAUAUAUAGGGGUGUUAAUUAACUAGUAUUUGAUUAGGACUAGGACACGUGUAGACAUUUGAUUACUUGCUGGAUAAUUAAAUAACUAAUUCUCUUCACGUGCCGUACAAUAUGCAUUUUUAUUUGCGCGCGCAAUUUUGAUAAAUGGAUAGGGCGGGACGUUCAUGUACCAUGGUCAUUACGGGAUGCAGAAGUUGGCCGGGUUCAAUGGGAUGAUUGUUGUUUCUCUGAGGCUUGGCCCGGUCGAACUCUUUUUGUAUGACCAUGAUCGGUUAAUGUUGUUGAUCGAUUGGUACCACACGUCGAUUCUUUAGUCCAUUGUAGGUUUUUUUGUCUGCCCCUUCAUUUUCGUCGGAGAGUCAUAGGUGAUGUGUUAGGCUAUAAUGAAAAUGUCUUAUCUUUAUUCUCAUAAUGAGAAGAACAUUCCAAUUAUUCAUGGGUCUAGAUAUUAAAAGAAUAUUAAAAUCAUAGAAAAAUGUUAUUGUUUUUUUUUUUCCGAUUCUAAUGGAUGGUUAAAAUAUUAUUUAAUUUUAUUUGAUUAUUAUUUGAAAUUUUUAACAUGAUAAAACUUAAAUUUUUAGCUAUUCCUGAUAUGUAUGUCAAAUAUUAGUCAAUUUGAAAAUUUUUAAAUUUUUCAUGUCAAAAUUGACCCUUUUUUUUUAUAGAUAUGAGCCAUUNNNNNNNNNNNNNNNNNNNNNNNNNNNNNNNNNNNNNNNNNNNNNNNNNNNNNNNNNNNNNNNNNNNNNNNNNNNNNNNNNNNNNGAAAUGACAAAAAAAAAUCAAGUUUCAAUAUAAUAACCCAUGUAAAUAAUGAUUAAGUUAAAAAUCAAUUUUACUCAAUAUAUAUUAUGUUAGUGUUGAAAUUUUUUAAAUUGGUUUAUUUUAUGAGUGUUGAGCCGCCGUUACGUGAAUUGUGUUUUGUUAACUUCCGCAGUAUAUAAUUGUAUGAGAACCAAAUCAUUUUACCAUAUAUUUCAACCGUACAAAUAAUAACAAAACAUAUAAAUCAGUACAUUCAAUUAACUCCGCAACAAAACACAGACAAACAAUCUAGUAACUAGGUUAAAAUAAGUACCAAAAAAUUAGUUGAAUAGUCGUUGGAGCUAGUAGGGAGGCUGUUAGAUUCUUACUCUAAUACAUCUCAUAGUUAGUAAAAAUAAUUUCAGUUUACUCUGUUUUCUUCGCUGACAUUCUUAUCUUAAUCUUCACUAAACGACAAAUCAGUCGCUUCUAAUAAACGGGAGAGGGAAAUACAACUGCUCUCAAAUAGCACCGGCGGCCAACGGGUCAACCAGCGUUUGCGAUCCGAUGAACCCCAAUUCCGGGGAAGACUUAUCGUAUCAGGAUCGGCAGCUUAACUUCUCUAUCUACUCUUAGUUUCCAGAUGGAGGUAAGUAAAAUUAAAACUUAAGCAUUAAUGAAUUUUAAUCUUACCUGACGGCCGGAAAAAAAUGCUGAGGCAGGAUCACAAGAUGACGGUGGGGGAAGCCGACGGGAACUACGUGGAACCAUCCGAGACGGAGAACCUCUACGUCUACUCCGGGGAGACCUACUCCGUGUUGGUGAAAGCCGAUCAGCCUCCGACGAGGAAUUACUGGAUCACCACGAGCGUCGUCUCUCGGAAACCUUCAACUCCGGCACGUAUCGCAAUUCUCAACUACUACCCGAACCACUCGCGGCGUUGUCCUCAUACUGUCCCGCCAGCUGGACCUCAAUGGAACGACACCGUAUCACGCCUGGAACGGAGUCAGGCAUUUAAGACCCGGAAAGGCUACGUCCACGAACCGCCUCCGACCGGACCGGGUCAUCCAGCUACUCAACACGCAGAACAAGAUUGGAGCGAAAUUCAAAUAGGCGUUGAACAAUCUCUCCCUUGCCCUCUCAACGACUCCUUACUUGAUCCCCCUGAAGUGAAACCUGAAGGGCAUUUUCGAUCAGGAUUCGCCUCCGGAGAAAUUUGAGAUGUCGGAUUAUGACAUUUACAGUGUGGCGAAGAACGUGAACGCUACGCUGAGCAACCGGAUUUACAAGCUGGAAUUCAAUUCCACGAUGGAUGUUAUGUUACAGAAUGCCAACACAAUGACGCCUAACAAUAGUGAAGCGCACCCUUGGCAUCUCCACGGGCAUGAUUUUUGGGUGCUCGCGUAUGGGGAAGGGAACUGUGACCCAACCCGGGAUAUGGAGAGGUAUAACCUUGUGGAUCCGGUGAUGAAGAAUAUAGUGCCGCUUCAUCCUUAUGGGUGGACCGCGAUUCGGUUCAGGGCAGAUAACCCGGGUCUGUGGUUCUUCCAUUGCCACAUUGAGUCUCAUUUCUUCAUGGGAAUGGUUUUGGUUUUCCAAGAAGCGAGUUGGAUGGUUGGACGGCUGCCUUCUUCAGUUAUGGGAUGUGGGAAAACCAAACCGGCCGUUUGAUAGAGUACUAUAGGCUUUCACUUUUUUUGUCGGCUUUGUGUUUUUAGAAUGCGAGCUUUAGACUAGGAUGCCCAAUAGAAUGAUGGAUGAACCACCAUCGUCUUUUAUAAGAGAUAAACAUUACUUAGGUGUUAACUGCUGAUUGGUCGGCAGGGCGGUUGAUGAGUCAAGCCGUUGGUAAUCCACUAAAAAAAAUACUAAAAAGUUUGUUCGAUAAGCGGAGUUCGAACUAGCAUUGGCUCAUGAGCUCAUCGAGCCAGGUUCAAUAACCAGCUCCUCCAUAGUCAUAGCUUGUGAGCCAGCUGAUUUAGAUUAAAGUGUUUGAUUUGUAUCUCAUAAACCUCUCCGGUUUUGAACUCUAAGACCACCCCGUUAUAGUUUAUCGAGCUGACAUUUUAGAGGUAAUUUCGAGCCAAACCCGAGCUGCACAGAUUCAUAAAAGAGAACCAGUGUGCUCCAAAUGAACAAGAAACUUGUACUAUACGCAAGAGCAAUAUACAAAGGAGAAACUCAAGAAUAUUCAGGACAGUCUUGCUGGAUUAAUCCACGCAGAUAAAAUAUACAAAGGAGAAAAUGAAGUACAACAACAAUUACUUCUGGACCUGAAACUGAAACAGCACCAAAGGCUGGUCCCGACUCCCAAGCUUCUUAGGCAGCUAGCUCACAAGAUGCUACAGCUAGUGGUAUCCCUGGUUGAGAAAAAGAUCAGAGAGACGACGAGACAAAACCACAUGGUAGGCCUGGCUAAUGGCUAUAGUUCAAAGGGUGCGUACCUCUUCAUGUCUUCGUAGUUGCCUAAUGCUUGCUCGAACUUAAGCCAAAGCGGACCAGUCUCCUGGCUCACAUUCUUUGGCCCAGCGAUGUAUGCCUGCACUACAAACUGUGGAGUUCUUUCCCUGUAGUGCAUAUAACCGAAACAUCAAGAGACGAACCUUCUCAACCUAAUCCGACCGAACUUAGCACGUAAUGAACGUUAUACCUUCUCUCGUAUUCCGAUAGCCAUGCCAUGUAAGCGGCCCCGAAAUACAUGGACAGAAAUGGUUUGGUCAUAUCAGCAGCCGAAUCGACUCUGUAUGCCCGGUAGCCCAACUCCCUGUAUGAAUUCACGCAUUAGAUUUGAGAAUGAUUCCAAUUCCUAUACUGUCAAUGACCAAAGGCCUAGUAAGUGUCCGUACGUGUAAAGCCAAAAGGCGGUAGAGUAGUCGAUGCCCAUUAUUCCAGUUCGAUGUCCGAUCCCAUUGAGGAAACGCAUACUAACCAUCUCAGCCAGCGCGCAGAGGACUGACUGUACAAGCCAAAGAUAACGAAGAUCAGUUCAUCCCGGCUUCGUUUCCCAAAAAUCUGUUUACAAACAUUUUGAGUGUUCACUUACUGGCCUAACUCCUCUGGUGCUGAAAUGCUUCGAGAGAAUUAUGCUUGCAACUGCCUGCACAAAGAAAUUUCACAACAAAUAUAAUGCAUACAUCCAUAGACAUAAUGUAGUACUCCUACUUGUGUUGCGACUUUAGAAAGAAGAGAGAGCUCGAAGUUCUUUUCGAUGUGUUAAACUUUACCUUGGUCUCUAUUUGGGACAAAUAUGGUCUGUGUUCCUUGUCAUGCGAGAAACGUACUUUUCCACGCCUUUCCCCUGAUUUCGUCCAUUCUCUAGCAACGUCAUGCUGAUUCCACAUCUCUGCCAUAUCCUCAGGAGAAGAUCUAGAGUCCCAGUGCAGAUGAUCACCGUCUGUUCUUUCAACACAAAACAACUACUGAAUAAGGUGGAAGAAAACUAAGAGCUACUAUUUUCAAACACAUUGUCAUAAAACACACAGUAACGAUGAAGCAAGGUUGGAAAUGUAGUAAAAAAGUAUAACCUGAGCUUUGUGAAGAAGAUGAAUGAGAAGCAGAUGCUGAUGGCCUAGGUGAAGUACAAUCAGUAUUUCCAGAGGUCCCUUCGUUUGAAAAUCGUCUUCAAAAACAAAGAGAGCAAUGAAAUCUGAGAAGUUUGAUGAAAAUCAAGUUUUUCUAUCACUAUAUUAGCUAGGGAGAGCAGCAAACAACCAACCACCUGGAAGGAAGACUUUCUUUAACUGAGAGGUACCGUUUCCAGUAUUGCAAAGUUGAUUUAUGUGUUGCCUUUUUGGUGCCACCAUGGUAAGCCCUAACAAUGAACUCUUCACUUCUUUCUCUGCAGCAGCAUUAACAUAAAUCAACAUUGCUGAGGAAUUGGAUGAGGAUACAAACAGCGGAAGGAACCAUAGGGAGAUUCAUCCAUCACAUGCUUACUUGUGCUCGAAGUUGGACAGCCAUUUCAAAUAUGCAGCACCGAAAUAUACACUCACAAAAGGCUUAUAGAGAAUGUCUGGAUUAUCUCCAAGUACGUAAAUCCGGUAGCCAAAAUCUCUAUAAACAGUCAAAGCGUUCUUAAUCAGUGCCAUAUACUGAAAAGAGAGACUGAAAAACCUAUUUGUAUGAUGGUAUACCUCUCCAACCACUGAGCAGUUUUUGGGAAAAUUUGCAUUAUUCCUACAGUGAUCUCCUUAGAUUUCUUAUGAAAGUGCCUAGAGAGAAGCUGCCUGUCGCUUGCAAGUUCAGCAAUAGCACAUAUCAUAUCCUGCAGAAACAUUAAGGAAUAUUACAGCAUUUGUGAGCACACAAUGAGAGCCGGAUGCCAGCCUGUUGAAAUUUCAUUUGAAUGAUUGCCGUACUGGAGAUAUCUGUGAACCGAAGUGCCUACGGACGAUGAUAUCAGCUACUGCCUGAAGGAACACGGCUCAAGAUUCAAGAACAUUAGAUUCUGGAAGAGAGCGAUGGCAGAAAAAAUCAUUAUCAGGUGAAGUUUGGUUCUGAGAGGGAUGGACCUUCAUCUCUGUUUGAGUUAAAUAGGUCUGGCCGUCGGGAUCACGUGAAAUGUGAAUUUUCUGACCGCGAGUCUCGCCGGCGUCCAGCCAUUCAGUGCUGACAGCAGGUUCCCUCCACAUCGCCUCCAAGUCAUUGGGAUCAACACAAUCAUCCCAGUACUUGAAGCUAACCGACAUUUUGCUGAUCCUAGAGAGCGUUACAAGUACCAGCCAUUUACUACAUCAAUCAAAAUUUCAAAAUCCAAACAGAAAAUAGCAACCAGAUCGUAACAAAAAUGAGAAUCCAUCAACGAAUUGGCAGGAACAACGAAUAACAGAUUGAUAUUAAAAAAUCAUGCGUACCCAAUUGAGAUUGCCUAGGAAGAAUUCGAAAAUGCGAUCCGUUAUCUCCUGAUGUCUCCUCUUGUCCGACGAGAAUUGGCUGGGUGGCGAUGACCUUUGGUUGAAUGAUAAAACGGAGGGAAGGGAGAAUGAAAUGGGAGCGGGAAAAGCGGAGGGUAGAGUGGAUUGAGAGGUGAAAAGAAUGAAGAAUGGAAGAGGCUGAGAGAAAAGACGGAAGGUGGACCGUUGUUGACGGGAGAUUAUUAACGUCUGGGACACUGGGCAGGCAGUUGCAGCUCCGGCCUGGUUCUCGCCGGCGUCUCCUUUGCCCCGUUGGUUCAUAUGGACGGACCAACUUGCUGCAGCGGGAAAAUGUGGGACCGGAAUAUUCAAAUAGGCUUUCAUUCAGCCUAUUACCUUUUGUUUAGGGGCCAACGAUGAUUUUUGUGUAAGGUUUGGAGUUUGGAUGGACCUUUUGAUUUUGCUAUUGCAACCCAUUUGACAGUACAGACUAUGAGUAAGUGAUAUGCUAAUAGCAAUGCUACAAUUGAUGAUCAAUGAUAGAAAUUAACAAGGCUAAUUAAUUAGAUAUUGAUUAUGAUGAUUCUGAUUAACCUAACAGUCUCGAGGCCUGGAAACUUCGGAGUCGAACUUGUUGUUGUUGAUGGCGCACCAAGCCAUAAAGAGCACAACCACCAUGAACACCACGAAGCAGAGAAGAGCCACUCCCGCCGCCCUGCAUUGCUUCCUCACUUCGCCCAGGAAACCGGUCUUGCAUCUCUCGCAGUUGUAUCACAUCUUCUUCGGGUCGGAGAUCCAUUUCCCGCACUCUCCGUUACCGGGAGCACCCUGCUUUUCUUUGUUCCCUGUCGCCCCCAUCGUCGCGUUGGCAUUCUCCGGUGUGCAUCCCGGCGGCGGUUUGCAGCAGCCUACCUGUUUUGUUCCCCCGUCGCCAAAAUAUGAAAUAUUUGAACAAUUAGUGACAGUUUAAGCUGUCGCUAAAGGAUUACUUGAUAGACAAGCAUUUUUCAAUUAAUUAAUGGAUUAUAUUGCGUGCCAUGUGUAGGCUUGGCAAUGGGUCGGUUACAGGGCGGUUACACCCUAACCGUUGCCCGUUAAAUUUGCCCACGGUUUUACCCAUAACCGCCCCAUUAUGCCUAAUGGGUAAAAUUUUGUUACCAAAUCCAUUUUGAUAUGGAUUUCGGUUAAACCCGUGGAUAUCGGGUUUGUCCAACAAAUUGUCAAAAUCUGAAAAUUAAAAAAUCUCAAAUGAAAACCUGGCAAUAAAUAUCAUCAUUCAUCCCAUUGACCAAUUCCCAGUCUCAUACUGUAUUUACGAGUUCAGUUGAGGGUUUAGCAGUUUAUUAAGGGCUUACUUAAAAGUUUAGUAAUGCUUAACAGUUUAUUAAGGGUUUAACAAAUUUAGUUAUAGAGUUUAGGGUUUACGAGUUCAGUUGAGGGUUUAGCAGUUUAUUAAGGGCUUACUUAAAAGUUUAGUAAUGCUUAACAGUUUAUUAAGGGUUUAACAAAUUUAGUUAUAGAGUUUAGGGUUUACGAGUUCAGUUGAGGGUUUAGCAGUUUAUUAAGGGCUUACUUAAAAGUUUAGUAAUGCUUAACAGUUUAUUAAGGGUUUAACAAAUUUAGUUAUAGAGUUUAGGGUUUACGAGUUCAGUUGAGGGUUUAGCAGUUUAUUAAGGGCUUACUUAAAAGUUUAGUAAUGCUUAACAGUUUAUUAAGGGUUUAACAAAUUUAGUUAUAGAGUUUAGGGUUUACGAGUUCAGUUGAGGGUUUAGCAGUUUAUUAAGGGCUUACUUAAAAGUUUAGUAAUGCUUAACAGUUUAUUAAGGGUUUAACAAAUUUAGUUAUAGAGUUUAGGGUUUACGAGUUCAGUUGAGGGUUUAGCAGUUUAUUAAGGGCUUACUUAAAAGUUUAGUAAUGCUUAACAGUUUAUUAAGGGUUUAACAAAUUUAGUUAUAGAGUUUAGGGUUUACGAGUUCAGUUGAGGGUUUAGCAGUUUAUUAAGGGCUUACUUAAAAGUUUAGUAAUGCUUAACAGUUUAUUAAGGGUUUAACAAAUUUAGUUAUAGAGUUUAGGGUUUACGAGUUCAGUUGAGGGUUUAGCAGUUUAUUAAGGGCUUACUUAAAAGUUUAGUAAUGCUUAACAGUUUAUUAAGGGUUUAACAAAUUUAGUUAUAGAGUUUAGGGUUUACGAGUUCAGUUGAGGGUUUAGCAGUUUAUUAAGGGCUUACUUAAAAGUUUAGUAAUGCUUAACAGUUUAUUAAGGGUUUAACAAAUUUAGUUAUAGAGUUUAGGGUUUACGAGUUCAGUUGAGGGUUUAGCAGUUUAUUAAGGGCUUACUUAAAAGUUUAGUAAUGCUUAACAGUUUAUUAAGGGUUUAACAAAUUUAGUUAUAGAGUUUAGGGUUUACGAGUUCAGUUGAGGGUUUAGCAGUUUAUUAAGGGCUUACUUAAAAGUUUAGUAAUGCUUAACAGUUUAUUAAGGGUUUAACAAAUUUAGUUAUAGAGUUUAGGGUUUACGAGUUCAGUUGAGGGUUUAGCAGUUUAUUAAGGGCUUACUUAAAAGUUUAGUAAUGCUUAACAGUUUAUUAAGGGUUUAACAAAUUUAGUUAUAGAGUUUAGGGUUUACGAGUUCAGUUGAGGGUUUAGCAGUUUAUUAAGGGCUUACUUAAAAGUUUAGUAAUGCUUAACAGUUUAUUAAGGGUUUAACAAAUUUAGUUAUAGAGUUUAGGGUUUACGAGUUCAGUUGAGGGUUUAGCAGUUUAUUAAGGGCUUACUUAAAAGUUUAGUAAUGCUUAACAGUUUAUUAAGGGUUUAACAAAUUUAGUUAUAGAGUUUAGGGUUUACGAGUUCAGUUGAGGGUUUAGCAGUUUAUUAAGGGCUUACUUAAAAGUUUAGUAAUGCUUAACAGUUUAUUAAGGGUUUAACAAAUUUAGUUAUAGAGUUUAGGGUUUACGAGUUCAGUUGAGGGUUUAGCAGUUUAUUAAGGGCUUACUUAAAAGUUUAGUAAUGCUUAACAGUUUAUUAAGGGUUUAACAAAUUUAGUUAUAGAGUUUAGGGUUUACGAGUUCAGUUGAGGGUUUAGCAGUUUAUUAAGGGCUUACUUAAAAGUUUAGUAAUGCUUAACAGUUUAUUAAGGGUUUAACAAAUUUAGUUAUAGAGUUUAGGGUUUACGAGUUCAGUUGAGGGUUUAGCAGUUUAUUAAGGGCUUACUUAAAAGUUUAGUAAUGCUUAACAGUUUAUUAAGGGUUUAACAAAUUUAGUUAUAGAGUUUAGGGUUUACGAGUUCAGUUGAGGGUUUAGCAGUUUAUUAAGGGCUUACUUAAAAGUUUAGUAAUGCUUAACAGUUUAUUAAGGGUUUAACAAAUUUAGUUAUAGAGUUUAGGGUUUACGAGUUCAGUUGAGGGUUUAGCAGUUUAUUAAGGGCUUACUUAAAAGUUUAGUAAUGCUUAACAGUUUAUUAAGGGUUUAACAAAUUUAGUUAUAGAGUUUAGGGUUUACGAGUUCAGUUGAGGGUUUAGCAGUUUAUUAAGGGCUUACUUAAAAGUUUAGUAAUGCUUAACAGUUUAUUAAGGGUUUAACAAAUUUAGUUAUAGAGUUUAGGGUUUACGAGUUCAGUUGAGGGUUUAGCAGUUUAUUAAGGGCUUACUUAAAAGUUUAGUAAUGCUUAACAGUUUAUUAAGGGUUUAACAAAUUUAGUUAUAGAGUUUAGGGUUUACGAGUUCAGUUGAGGGUUUAGCAGUUUAUUAAGGGCUUACUUAAAAGUUUAGUAAUGCUUAACAGUUUAUUAAGGGUUUAACAAAUUUAGUUAUAGAGUUUAGGGUUUACGAGUUCAGUUGAGGGUUUAGCAGUUUAUUAAGGGCUUACUUAAAAGUUUAGUAAUGCUUAACAGUUUAUUAAGGGUUUAACAAAUUUAGUUAUAGAGUUUAGGGUUUACGAGUUCAGUUGAGGGUUUAGCAGUUUAUUAAGGGCUUACUUAACAGUUUAGUAAUGCUUAACAGUUUAUUAAGGGUUUAACAAAUUUAGUUAUAGAGUUUAGGGUUUACGAGUUCAGUUGAGGGUUUAAUAGUUUAUUAAGGGCUUACUUAACAGUUUAGUAAUGCUUAACAGUUUAUUAAGGGUUUAACAAAUUUAGUUAUAGAGUUUAGGGUUUACGAGUUCAGUUGAGGGUUUAAUAGUUUAUUAAGGGCUUACUUAACAGUUUAGUAAUGCUUAACAGUUUAUUAAGGGUUUAACAAAUUUAGUUAUAGAGUUUAGGGUUUACGAGUUCAGUUGAGGGUUUAAUAGUUUAUUAAGGGCUUACUUAACAGUUUAGUAAUGCUUAACAGUUUAUUAAGGGUUUAACAAAUUUAGUUAUAGAGUUUAGGGUUUACGAGUUCAGUUGAGGGUUUAAUAGUUUAUUAAGGGCUUACUUAACAGUUUAGUAAUGCUUAACAGUUUAUUAAGGGUUUAACAAAUUUAGUUAUAGAGUUUAGGGUUUACGAGUUCAGUUGAGGGUUUAAUAGUUUAUUAAGGGCUUACUUAACAGUUUAGUAAUGCUUAACAGUUUAUUAAGGGUUUAACAAAUUUAGUUAUAGAGUUUAGGGUUUACGAGUUCAGUUGAGGGUUUAAUAGUUUACUAUCAGAAUUCAUAAAGAAGAUAGAUUAUUAAGGGUACUAUUAGAAAGUAGACAGCCUAUUAAGGGGUUAACUUUAACAGUUUAUAAGGGUUUAACAAUUAGGUAGAGAGUUCAUGGGUUAUGAGUUCAAUUGAAGACAGUAUAAACUUGGUUCAGGCUGUUAACAAUCUAACAUAACACUUCUAAGUUCUAAACAAGUUCUAAAACUCUCAAAUGUUAUACCAUUACACAAUGUAAGCUUACCUCAGCAGUUGUAGAAACAGAUUGUUGUCUUGCCUCCUGAACAACGAUUUCAAAGUUCCACCCUGCCUCCUAAUUAGCACCAACUGUGUGACUUCCUCCUAAGCAGAAACAUACAUUUUAUUAUAAUACUGUACUUACAACAUUGCUAUGAAUCAAAGGAAAAACAACCACAAACCCUAUACUUAAACGUACCUAAACAGCGGAAUGAAACCAAUUUUGGCCCUGAUUCUAUAACUCUCUAGUCCAGAGCAGUAAUCUGAAACAUAUAACACUGCAAAUCAGAUUUUUCACAUAAUAACAGACACAAAACAUUCAAAGAGUCACAAAAGCCACAAACACAUUCACAAAAGCCACAAACACAUAAUAACAGAUAACUUACUGGUAUGAAAUGAAUCGGAAGGAAAAAUCCCAAAUUUGAUAAAUUAGGGUUUCUGUCUUCUGGAUUUUGUUCGACGAACUGCAUAUGAAGCAAUAAACCCAAAAAUUAGUAUACAAUUUAUACAUGCAGGGAUAAACAAAAAUAAGGAAUGGCAGAAUAAAAAACUUAUCUCGAUUUGGGGAAGGAAUCCUUUGCAUGCACGAUUCGAACCAGAUUUUUGCGGAUUGAAGGAGUUUUGUAGUUGAAUAUGGGUAGGUGAUGAUUAUAGUGGGGAUGGAUUCGAUGAAUAUCAACAGAAAAGGAAGAUUUGGGAGAAAAAUUAGGGUUUCAGUGGAGUUCUUUCGAGAGGAAGUCGGGAGAAAAUUCUGGAGAGAGGCUCAGAGGCGUGAAAAAAUGGCUGAAAUGAAACCCUAGUCUGAAAAUUUUGCUUUUAUACCCUAUAUCAAUACUACGUCGUUUUAACUCACGGAUUGGAUAUGGGUCGGAUAAGUUAUUAUCCGUAUCCGCCCAUUACCCGAAACUCGCGGGUCACGGGCCUGACCGAAACCGGUAAACAUCCAUCGGGCCCAGACUUUCGGGCUGUAUUCGCGGGCGGGCUCCACUGGGUAACCUAAACCCGUGGGCUGACUGCCAAGCCUAGCCAUGUGUCGCCUUUAAAUUGGCCGUUAUACCAAUUUUAGUUUACUUUUGAAAAUUAAUACCUUGAACCCUCUAUCUAGACAAUCUAAUUAAAUUCACUAUAUGAUAAAAAUCUCGAAAAGAAAUCACGGUUAAACCGAAACACUAUACUUAAAACCUUCCACAUCUCAAGACCUACCCACACACACAAGUAUUACAACACCAAUUUGAAAAAAUACAUGACAUUCGAUACAUUUUACUUCAUAAAUGUACACAUGAUUAUAGUUUCAGACCCUAAUGAGUUAUCCAUCAUCUACAAAAAUUCGACUCUCACAUUAUUCUCCACCACCAUGUACAAAUGCAAAACCGAACUCAAAUGUCUAACCAAUUUGUAUCACCAUCAAAAAAUAUUGUAUAAAAAGGUAUAAAAGAAGUAAGAAAAGCUCAUGAGCUUAAUUACCAGUAAAUGAGCCAAAACGUCAACAAUUUUCUCCAAUUUUUCUAAUCUAUAGCUUUGGUGUUCCACGCCGUUUGUUAACUCUGUUAGUAAAUACAGAUUCUUCUUCAACUAUUAAUUAGCAUUUUACUCCAACGUUAAUCAACUAAUUUCAAUACAAAACUCCACUCCCAAAAAUUAAUUUCGAAGGUAAACUUUUAUUUUACCGAGUUGAAGGUAAAAUUUAAUUAUUAACCUGUGAAAAGAAUUUGCUUAGUAAUUCUUGUAUGCCACCCAUCACUUUCGUCGCCGUCCUUAAAGCUUCCUCGAUCGAUCCCUUUGGAUUUUUCGAAUUAUUGAAACUUUUAUUAUAAAAAUGUACAAAGAAUAUAUAAAAACCUUGAUUAUUAUUAUUAUCCAAUUAAAAAUUGUUAAGUCUACCUUCUCAGAAGCAGGACCGAGUUUCCGAGUCACCCGAUUGACUGCCUCAACGUUCUUCCUUUCCGUUUUCUACCACUCGAUCGGUAGAGUUAGUUGCCAACUCAUUAUCCGACUCAGCUUCUCCUCUACCUUCAUCCUCUGAAUCUCCAUUACCCUUUUCCUCUUCUGCCAAAUCGUAAGCCACGCGUGGAUCAGCUUCGCACGUGUGGCAAGCUCCCUCACAUUUGCAGCUGCUUCUGCCUUCGCGUUCGCGAAUCUUCACUGGAUUAACGUACCGUUCACAACUUCGAAAUUCCGCCGCCGCCGCUCCCCUCGCCGACGCAGCUACUCGAUCCGCGCUCACUCCUUCCCUCCCUCCCUUGUCUUUGGAGACUUAAUAAGCCACUACAAAUAUUAAUUACUGAAAUUUCCUGUGAUAAAUUCAUCUUGUCGUCGUAAAAACUAAUCAAAACCUUAUUUAAUUAAACUCUUUUUUGUAAUUGUAUUAAUGUCUAGUUGAAAGCCAGGUAUAAUAUAAUUAUUUUACAAAAAAGGUAUAUUAUAAUUAACUUCAUUACAAAAAAUAAUCAUAGCUGAAAUUUGAUUUAAUUAAUUAAAUUAAAUUACACAUGAUGCAAAAGAAGUAAACCCUAACCCCUAGCGCACGUCAAUCACUCCGACGAUGACUUCUUGCUACCUUCCUUCUUCCUCACGCAACAUAUAACGUAGUCCUCGAUACCACCACCACACCUGUCCGCCAAAACCCUACCAAGACGAUACUCAUGCAUCACCCAUUCCCCAGCCUCCGAAGAAGAACUCGAACUCGAACCACCACCGUGAUUGAUGACCUUGUAAGAGAAAGACCUAUCGAAACCGAUGGUGGUGGACUCACCGUCGGUGCUGUAGACUAUAGGCUCCUCCUUCUGCGACUUCCACACGCAGUUUCCGAAGCUCCUCUCGACUCGCUUGCCCUUCUCGUUCUUCUUCUUCCGCUUGGUAAAGAAGUAGAGCUCCGACUCGUUGACCUCGUCCUUGAAGUGUCUCUUCCAUGGCUCGUCGGGGGAGUAGAGGUCGCACUCGAUUAUACCGUCAAAGGGCGGAGGAGGGUGGUUGGGGUUGACGGUGGCUCUGAUGGCUAACGGGUAGAGGUAUGUGAGGAUUAGUUCUUGGUCCGAUGGUUUGAAUCGGUACCCUACUGCUAGGUUCUUGAUCUUCAUUCUUGCAGCAAGAUGCAAAUCAAGUAACUAGUUGAUUACUAGUGAUUAAUUAGGGAGAGUGAAGGUUUAGCUUAGGUUAAUUAGUGUGUUAGUUAUAUAUAGGGGUGCUAAUUAACUAGUAUUUGAUUAGGACUAGGACACGUGUAGACAUUUCAUUACUUGCUGGGUAAUCAAAUAACUAAUUUCCUUCACGUACGUACGCUGUACGAUAUGUAUUUUUAUUUGAGUGCGCAUUAUUUAUAAAUGGAUAACUUUUGAAAAAAUAAUUCAAAAAUACAACUUAAUUAGCAUAUCUUACUCAGAAUGGUGAUUAGUGUCUUUUGAACUACAUCUUAAUUUAGAUUAAUGAGNNNNNNNNNNNNNNNNNNNNNNNNNNNNNNNNNNNNNNNNNNNNNNNNNNNNNNNNNNNNNNNNNNNNNNNNNNNNNNNNNNNNNNNNNNNNNNNNNNNNNNNNNNNNNNNNNNNNNNNNNNNNNNAGUUAAAAUGAAGUAAACUAGUGGAUCCAAAAAAUUUAAAAAUAAAUAAAUAACGGAGAAUUACCAUUUUCUUCUCCGUGAGAUUACGACAUUUAUAAUAGUUAGAGUGAUUUAAAAAAAACGUAGGCCGGCGAAUAGUACGCCUCGGGAUGAGCGGGGGAGAAGAAAAUGACAAUUCUCCGUUAUUUAUUUAUUUUUUACUUUUCAAGAUCCACUAGUUUACGUCAUUUUAACUUGGCGACGUGCUAGAUCUUAAAAAACCUACAAUAAUAGAUAAGUGUAUGUAAAAUACUACUAUAAUGGCAUCUUAUGCAGAAUCUUAAAUAUAAUGAAAUUCGGUGCAAUAACGCAAGACUGUAGUAGCAUGUGCCGCAUUUUACUCAUGAACUUUCAUAAUUUCAUUUGUCUUACUUAUGGAUAUUUAUGUCAUUUUUAUUUCAAUUUUUAAUUUAAUUAUUUUUCAAAUUAAAAUCUCUCUAAAUCAACCAUCCAAAACAAUUUAUUUUUCAAAAUAACACGAGUUUCAAAUUCCGUAAUAAUUUAGAAGGAAGACGAGGUGGUUAAAUAGGAGGGGAGGAGAUGAAAAUAGAAGGAGAAAAUUCAAUGGAGAGUGGCAGAGCCAUUGACAAUUGGAGGCAUGUGGUCAAAUGGAAACAUAGCGCGGUCUACAUUGUUCAAAAAAGAUGAGAGCCACGUAUAUUUUUGCGUGGGUAACUUCUCAAAGUGGAAUAUUGAUUGAGUUCGUGCACUAUAUUUAAAGGAGGAAGACGAAAGUAGAACGAGAAAGGCUGAUGAGAGUGCAUGCCCCAUUGAUCAUUAGAGGCAUGUAUCUAUGUGCUCAAAUGAAAUCUAGCGAGGUCUAUAUUGUUCGUAACGAGUGGAAAUGUAGGGGAUUCAACUCUGUACUUUUCGCAUGUAAAACGAAAUGCUCUAUUAUUUAAAGCUUAAUUUAAAAUAAACGAAAAUCAAUUUGAGGAUUUAUAAAGAUCGUUAUUGAAAAAAUAUGACGAUAGAUAUCAUAUUAUUAUUAUUAUUUACGUAAUUAAUAGUUAUCUCAUGGGGAAUUAAUUAUUAUCAUAUACAUUAUACGGAGAGAGAGUAAAGUAGGGUUCAUGAGGCUCUUGCGUUACAUUUAUUAAACUCCCUCCCCCCUUCCGCCCAACAACUCACCCUCCCCCCCCUCACACCAACUCCUCCCCAUUCUCUACAUCACUCUUCCUUUUUCUUUCUUUCCAUCUCAGAAAAACAAAACAAAAAAUCUUCCGCCGCUAUCAACGACGACGAUGGAGAAUACCACAUCACAUUCAACACCGACGAUGUUGAUCAUGGCCGCCGCCGCCCUCCUCUUGUUUCUUUCCUUCUUCUUGUCCGCCGUCGAAUCCUCAUCGUCGCUAUCAGCUUCUAGUAAUAAACCUACUACAUCACCACCACCACCGGUCCGCCGCCAGCUCUCCGCAACAACCGCCGCGGAUUCUUCCUGCAGCACCGCUGUGUGCAUGGAGCUUCGAAAAAUGAUAAAGUCCCGACGUCAACAAGCUGGCCGCCGUGAGAACAAGAGCUACACCGCCGGCGAGCAUCAAGAUCGUCAAGAACAAGACAGCGGCGGGGGAGGAGGUGGAGAGAUAGACAUGAGGUACGGCGUUGAGAAGCGGUUGGUCCCUUCCGGCCCAAACCCUCUCCACAACUAGCUAGAAGAAUCAAACUCCGAGAAUCUCCUAUUUCCCGGUCGAUGGUAAACGACGUCGUAUUAUUAGCCUCAAACAACACUGUCCAUAUUAUUUGUUUCGUUUCGUACUUUUUUUGUCCUUUUCCUUCCAGAAAUCCGGUGCGGCGUCGUUUAUGAUCAACCGCGGUGAACUGAUCUAGCGUAUAGAGAGUAUUAUGAAGAUCACUUGGUUUCUGAUGCUUCUUCCAUUUCUUGUUUGGCUUCGCAAAGAUAUUAAUUAAAUUGUUUUUUUUAUAUAAUUAAUAUAUUUUUAUCAGGGGGAAAUUCAAAUGGUGGUGGAAUUUAAUUAUUAUUAUUAUUAUUAUAUAUAUAUAUAUGGGUUCAAGAGAUACUCAUGAAUUUCAUUAAUUUGUCGGCUGGCUCCCCCUUAAUUCUCUUUUAUUUUUUGUUGCCCUUAUUCCAUGGUAUGCAUGUGUGCAUUAAAUUUGCCGACUUCAGUAGUAAGUUUGUCACCUUCACCGUAUUUACUUCCUCCUUCAACCUCCCUAUUCUCCGACUCUUUCUGUCCAUCAAGCUAAGUGUACGUACACACAUAUAUACAGUCGCCCAUGCAUGUGGGAGGUGUGUAACCGAUUGAUGGUAAUUUGGUGUCACGAGUUACCACCUAGAUCAUUUGACGGUUAACAUGAUCGUGGCAGUAAGCAUUUCGUGAUGUAUAAUAUAUAAUCGAAGGUUAGCAAAUAUGUAUUCCGUUAGUUCAAAAAUUGAACAAGCAUAUAUCCCACGUGCCAUACUCUUUUCAUUCCACCGUUUAAUUAAUAGUAGUUAGACCACUAAUUAUAGUACUAUAAUAAAUAUUGCACCUGCCACUUGGUGAUUAACCGUUUACCUUAACGACCAUAUGGUCAAAUUUUUAUCAUAUUUCGGUUAUGAUUUGUUUUCCAAUAAUGUAGUUUCGAUGGUUGGGGAUAAUAAGAUGUCAAGAUAGAAAAGCGAGUACAAACUAAGUAUAUAUAUACCAACCCAAGUAUAUUUUUAUUUGAUAGAUAUCUAAUUAAGAGUUUAUCUUACUUUAAAGUACUCUGACACUUUAUUUUGUUCAAUUAGUGAAGAAAUUCAAGCCCUCGAAGAAAGUAGUAAGCUCAACCAAUAUUGCUUCAUCCGACAAGUAGCUGACUAGCUUAGACCACCACCGAGAGACUACUAACUUUGUAUUAUCUUUUACUAUCCACUAGAACCUAACCAGAUACGAAGAGCACAAACGACAAGUAAGAAAAAAAUUUCAAUACAAAUCACAUAAUAUGGGAGGCUAUUUGAAUUCUGAACUAUCAAUUUAAUAACGGCACAAUAUAAAGAAAGAACCACCCUCACAACUCGUUCCACCCCACCCACAUGUUUAUAAUUGCAAAAAGAUUAUGAAUGUUAAUUGUAACACAACUCAUGUCAAUAAGUGGCUAACAAGUAACAAAGAAAAGGAUACAAAAUAUGUGGAAAACAAAAUAAAAAAGUAUUCAAAUCUAAAAUCUUUUUGUAAAAAAAAAAAAGUAUUCAAAUGCUAUUUGAUUCUCACUAGUAGCAGACAGUUGAUCGGAUCUUCCUCUGGGAAAGACCACCAAAAAAAUGGCGCGUCAUCUCCUUCUCUUCCUCCUCAUCGGUCUCCUCCACACUAUCGCCCUCUCGAAAACCCUCAAACGCGACGGUAAAUGACUGAAUUCACCAGAUCUGACCUCCUCCGCCGCGGCGGAUUGAACGGAUAUAAACUGAUUUCAUUUCGAUGCAGUGAAGGCACUGAACGAGAUCAAGUCGUCACUGGGAUGGAGAGUUGUGUACGCCUGGGUAGGAGACGACCCUUGCGGCGGCGACGGCCUCCAGCCUUGGUCCGGCGUCACCUGCUCCACUCAGGGAGAUUACAGAGUCGUCACCGAAUUGUAAAGUUUGUGAACAGUGUAUACCUUAAGUUCUUCCCGCCUAUGGGGUUUGAAUGGUGAGUGAUUGAUGCUUUUGUUUUGUAUUGGUAGGGAAGUGUAUGCAGUGUCGAUUGUCGGUCCAUUUCCUACUGCGGUGACGAAUCUGCUGGAUCUCACCAGAUUGUGAGGCUCCUUCUUGCCUUUGCAUUUUCACUUCAUUGUAUUAGAGUUUAUGUUUUCUGAAUGUUUGAUGCUGAAUAGGGAUUUUCAUAAUAACAAGCUGACAGGGCCGAUCCCUCCUCAAAUUGGGAGGUUGAAGCGUCUCAAGAUACUGUAUAGCCCCUUGCCUUGCUUGAUUGCUUUCUGUUUUUAGCCAGUUUUGAUUGGAUUCAUGGUGUGAAGUUGUGUUUCUAUCUUAGGAAUUUGAGGUGGAACAAGUUGCAAGAUUCACUUCCUCCUGAAAUCGGCGAGCUUAAGAGUUUGACACAUUUGUGAGUUGAUCAUUCAUUCGUUUGACACAAUAAUGUGAUUGUUUACGCCGAUUUCAAGUUGAUGUUAAUAUGGAAAAUGUUGUUGGAAGGUAUUUGAGCUUCAAUAAUUUCAAAGGAGAGAUUCCAAGGGAGCUAGCUAAUCUUCCCGAGCUUCGAUAUCUGUACUUGCAAGAGAAUAGGUUCUCGGGGAGAGUUCCUGCAGAAUUGGGAACGUUGCAGAAUCUUCGCCACUUGUAUGUAGUAACCAUCCCAUCUUCUCUGUUGAUUCUUGCUGUGUUAUGGCCUAGGGGUGUAGCCCUUUUAUCCAGUUUUCGGUAUGUGUAGGGAUGUUGGCAACAAUCAUUUGGUGGGUACUAUAAGAGAACUAAUCCGGAUUGAGGGUUGUUUCCCUGCGCUUCGCAACUUGUAAGUUCAUUUCAUCCUCACCAUGGGGAGCCUGUGAGUUGCUAAUGUGAGAUUAUUUAACGUGACUGAUUGCAUUUGUGUUCUUGUUUCUCUAGCUAUCUGAACAAUAAUUAUUUUACCGGAGGAGUCCCUACGCAGCUAGCUAACUUGACAAACUUAGAAAUCUUGUAAGCUUCCGUGCAUUCUUUCCGUUUUCUUUCUUCUGUAAAUUCCUUGAACAAUUCUCUUUCCAUGUCCGCUCUCCCUCAAAGAUUAUCUUCAAGUUCUAUGUGUCCUGUUUUCUCUUACCUUAAUACGUUUCUGGCAGGCACCUAUCCUAUAACAAGAUGACUGGAGUAAUACCCAUUGGACUUGCUUCCAUCCCGAAGUUGACAUAUCUGUAAGUUUCUUCAACGAGUUUUAGUUCCUUCAUUUCCAUCAGAUUACCGUUUGAGAUCACUGAAUCUAUAACACUUACAGGUACAUCGAAGGAAGCUCGUUCAAGCCUGGCGUAAAUCCAAUAGGCAUGCACAAAGUCUUCGAAGUAUCUGAUGCAGAUUUUGUAGUUUAAAAACCCUUAGCUAAUUUUUUGUACUCUAAUUUAUUUCACACUUUCUCUGUUACAAGCCUAUACAUAGAGAGAGUUGAUGCUGUUAAAUGUAUGGAACACAACCCAAAAUCAUGCUAAAAGCCAUUGUCUAGUAGUUCUCAUCAAUGUUUUGAAUAUAGCACCUGAAGGUUCGGUCGGUUCUAGCAUCGUUCAAUUAGGGUUUAUAAUAGUUUGAACAAUCGAACUGCAUACGGUUAGUUUUAGUGAUACUAUCUUCGGUAUGGUUCUGGAGAUCAUUGUUCUAACUGCUAAUCCUUCAUUCAUUGUGCUAAGCUUUCACAUUUCAUGAUAUGGAACUGUUCGUAAAACCACAAAUUUUACCAUCGUUUUAAAAAAUCGCACCGAAAUGGAUAGUUUGACUUGUCUGAUCUUAAACCGCUCAUAAAAAUAGUCUGGCACGAUCCAGAUAUAUCAAAGUUAAAGACUUUAAUUUGUAACCUAUUAAAUGGUUGAACCACAUUUGAAAAACGUUCUUUCCAACCCAAUCCAAAUUCCUAAAGCAUCCUAAUAUACAAAAUUAAAUGAUAAUAUUCCUUGAAAUAAACUUAAGUGGCCGCUUUAAUUACCAUCCAAUAGUUAAGUAUAGUUAAUUUAUGAUUAGAUAAAUCAAACCAGGCCGUUAUUUCAGUUCUGUUUCUUGUCGGGUUUUCUAAUCACUUGUCCAUUUUUAACUAACCUCCAUUUUCUUUUCAGAUUUUCUCCCUUUCAUUUCUUCUUCUUCUUUCCUCUUCAGGCUUCGUGUUCCUCCACAGAGCCUAACAGGAACGAGGAAUGUGAUCUCAUCAAAAUUAAAUUUUCAGAUUUAUCAAAACUACGAUGUCGAGUUUCAAUGUUCUUCUCCUUCUCUGUUCAAUCAUCCUAUCAAGUUUCUUCACCCUAUCGUACUCUGAUCAUCCUCACUAUGAAGAUGUCCACCAUGCUCACCACAAGAUGAAGGACCCGGAUGAAAUCACCGUCACGAUCAAAUCAGGCGCCGCUGUAUCCCACACUGCCGACGACUACGUCUGCGCAACUCUCGAUUGGUGGAGGAAAGACAAAUGCGAUUACCGACACUGCCCGUGGGGAAACGCUGGAAUUCUUGAUGUGGUAAUGUGUUUGUAACGGAAAUGUCUUUAUUAUUGGGUGAUCUUCGGGAACUGAUUCGUUGAUUUUGGUUUGAAUCAUGCAGGAUCUUAACAAUACACUUUUGGCCAAAGCUAUCAAGGGUAAGUAAAAAGUUCUGGGAUUUUUUUUCAGUCACCUUUAAGAUGUUCGAUGAAAUGCCUCAAUGAGGAAAUAAUUGCCCAUUUUUUAUGUGUUGUGUGUAGCGUUUGAUCCGUUGAGGCUUAGAGUGGGAGGAUCAUUGCAGGAUCUGGUGACUUAUGAAGUUGGAGGAGCUGUCGGUAUUCAUCCCAGCUUCGUGAAGGACAAAGAUGUGAUGCUUGGGUUCAAACCGGGGUCUCUUCCCAUGAAAAGAUGGGACGAGCUUAAUGAAUUCUUCGCUAAAACUAAGUGAGUUGUUCAUAAAUUAGAAAACUAUAAGUAAUUUUCUUUCUCUACCUAACCAAGUUGAUUGCUUUUGUUUGUAGUACCAAAGUAAUUUUUGGUUUGAAUGAGCUCUCUGGCAAGAAAAAGGAAAACCCGUCGACGACUCAAAUGGUAGGAGACUGGGACCCUACUAAUGCUCGCGAUUUCAUGAACUACACUGUUCAAAAGGGAUACAAGAUUGAUGCCUAUGAAUUGGGUACGUCUUCAUCAUAAAAGUAUUAAAAACUAUGAUCUUCUAUUGAUGGGUGAUGACAUUGAUUGAUUGCUCACAUCUUUUUAUAGGAAAUGAGUUGUGUGGUGAUGGAGUAGAUGCUAAGAUAGAUCCGGAGCAGUAUGCAAAAGAUACUAAAGAGCUAAGGAAAGUCUUGAAUGAAUUGUACCCGGAUCCUAAGUCCAGGCCCCAAGUUCUGGCUCCUGGAGGUUUCUUUUUCAAGGAAUGGUUCAAAACCUACCUUCAUGCUUGCGGACCAAACGUUAUCGAUGGCGUAACCCACCAUGUCUACAAUCUUGGAACUGGUAAAAUUUUCGAAAUUGUUAGCUCUUAGAGUGUUUGAUAUCCAAUGGUUGCUUUGGCUGGACCAUUGAUUGUGAAAGUUUGUGCCUUUUCUUUAUCAGUGCUUUAUACCCAUCUGUUUCUGUAUUCAUUAAACACCAACCUUUGAAAAUUUCCAGGUGGUGAUCCGAAGAUAAUAGACAGGAUUCAAGAUCCACAUUUCCUGAGCGAGGUAGUUCAGCUGUACAGGGACGUUCAGGAAGUAGCGGAGCAGUCUGGAUCAGGAGCAUCUCCUUGGGUCGGAGAGGGAGGCGGAGCUUACCUAAGCGGUGGUAUAAAUGUUCAAUCCACUUUCGUUGAUGGAUACUGGUACUUGGAUCAGCUUGGCUUGGCCGCAGUUCACAGCCAUAAGGCCUACUGCAGACAAGCCAUUGUUGGUGGAAACUACGGCUUCCUCAAAAACGACGUCUUUACCCCUAACCCUGAUUACUAUGGGUACCUUAACAUUUCGAUAGUAUCUUCAUAGAUCUUUCAACCUUAUUUGAGCUUUAGACUCACUUUCACAUUCUGCAUUUUGAUAAUCAGUGCACUAUUAUGGCAUCGGUUGAUGGGGACCGGAGUUCUAGCAACCAGCCACAACGGAUCUCCAUUCCUUAGGGCAUAUUCACAUUGCUCUAAGAAGAAGGUAUUGAUAUCUAAAGCCAGUUUUUCAACAUUCAAAUAUCUGCGUCUAACCAUUAGAAAAAUCCUGACAAGACAUUGUUUCUGGGUUUUGCUUUCUUUUUGGGCAGUCUGGAGUUACUCUGAUGCUGAUCAACAUGUCGAAAACUUCGACAUUCCAUAUCAUGAUCACCGACGAAUUGAACAACCACCACAAGGAUUCUGAUUCAAGCCAUCUCAAAGAGGAAAGAGAGGAGUACCAUUUGACACCAGAAGGAGGAAAUAUCACGAGCGAUGUCGUUCUUCUGAACGGAGUUCCGUUGCAGCUUACAGCUUCCGGUGACAUCCCGGAAAUGCCUCCGAAGCUUGCCCCAGCUUCAUCUCCGGUGACAAUGGUUCCUGGCUCUUUUGUUUAUGUAUCCAUUAAGGAUUUCAAGGCCCCUGCCUGCUGAGAAAGACCAGAGCUUUUUGGUCUCUUUUUGGAUUUCUUGGUUCCUUAUAAAAGGUGGUAAAGAAAACUUGAUCUACAAGUUAACUUCCAUUUUGUAACCUAAGGUCUCUGAUGAGGUUAAUCUAAUGGAAUAGAAAAAUAUUCUUUAAUUAAUAUAUAUUAUUGUAUAAAAUUCAUUAAGCAUGCUUACAUUUGUUAUUUAUUGAGUAAUUAUCAAUGAUAAUGUUGGAUAAUCUUUUUCACUUAAAAACCUGAUAUCACUCAAGGUAACUAAAAAUCUUAUCCACCUGAUUCACUUUUACAUUCCGUUUCAACAAAGUCCGACAAAAUCAUAGGCUUAUCCAAAUAACAGAUUUCAUAGCAAACAAUAACAAUAAAAUCUCUUGCUGAGCUAUAUAUAUAUCCACUGUACACACACACUUAGUUUUCUUCAAUACUCUGUGUUUCCUUUUCUGAUUCUACAAUGGCAGCAGCUUUCAGAGCUUUCCUCGUCUACUCACUCUUCCGCUCGACCCUCUCAGUGCUAUGCUCCGCUGACACUUCUAGGAUCACCGUCACGAUACAGUCAGUGAACUCCAUAGCGAAAACCGACAAUGAUUUCAUCUGUGCAACUCUAGAUUGGUGGCCCAAGAACAAGUGUGACUACAACCAGUGCCCUUGGGGACAAACCAGCGCCCUGAAUCUGGUAUAUAUGCCGGCUGUUCAUUUCCUUUUCGGUUGUUCUUAAUUGGGUUUUCGGUUCUGAUUAAUGGGUUUUGGUUGAAAACAUAUUUCAGGAUCUGAAGAACACCAAUCUGGCAACAGCUAUCAAAGGUAGGUAGAAAGUUCAUUGCUUUGAAAGCUUCCUUCAUCAAAGCUGUGAUCUAAUUAAUGUUGGUUUGUAGCUUUCGAUCCGUUGAGGAUUCGGGUUGGGGGGUCGUUGGAGGAUCUGGUGGUUUACAAAGUUGGGAAAGCGAUCAAGAGAUUCCCAAAGUUUAAGAAGCUGAAAGGUGGGAUGUUUGGGUUCAGCAGAGGUACUCUCACCAUGGAUAGAUGGGAUCAGCUCAAUCAGCUUUUCACCAAAACAAAGUAAUUAAGUUCAUACUAAUAAUCCGACUGUUAGUUACCAAAAAUGACGAAUCAUAUUAAAUCUGACGGUUUUUUACGAUUUCGUUGUAGUGCCAAAGUCAUCUUUGGCCUCAAUGCUCUGGUUGGGAAAAGAAAGAAAGAUGAAUCUUCCACUCUCUGGAUCGGAGACUGGAACUCGCAGAAUGCUCGAGAUUUCAUGAACUAUACCGUUCAGAAGGGCUAUAAAAUCGACUCUUACGAACUCGGUAGUUCUCUGAAACGAUUCUUGUACAGAUCAGUUUUUUUCUUCUUGUACUAUCAAACCUCGAACCGUUUAACAUUACUUUUUUGUCAGGAAAUGAGCUGAGCGGCUCGGGGGUUUCUGCUCGGGUGGAACCUGAGCAGUAUGCAAAGGACACAAUCAAAGUCAGGAAAGCUGUAAAUGAAUUAUAUCCAGAUCCCAAUUCCAGGCCUUUAGUAUUGGGUCCUGCCGGAUUCUUCGAUAAGGAAUGGUUCAAGAAGUACCUUCAAGCUGUUGGACCGAACGUUGUCGAUGGCGUAACCCACCACAUUUACAAUCUCGGCGCAGGUAAAAACGUUACGUACCUUCAGGAAUUAGUAUCGGCCUAUCGGGUUCAUAUCAUUAAUUACUGUUUUGCAGGAGUGGAUUCCAAGCUGAUUAAUAAGGUUCAAGAUCCGUUCUUUCUCGACAAAGUGGCUCAGACGUUCAAGGAAGUUCAGGAUAUUGUCGAGCAAUCCGGAACCGCUGCAGCUCCGUGGGUCGGGGAAUCGGGUGGAGCUUUCAACAGCGGUGGAAAGGACGUUUCAAACACUUUCGCUAAUGGGUUCUGGUACUUGGAUCAGCUCGGUAUGACCUCGACUUUCGGCCACAAGGCUUACUGCAGACAAUCCCUUGUUGGUGGAAACUAUGGAUUGCUUAGGAGUGAUAGUUUCACUCCAAAUCCCGACUAUUAUGGGUAACACAAAAAAGAUUCCGUCUUUUUGUUUUGUUUUUAUCUCGUAACUGUUGCUCUGAAUGUUCGGAUCGUUUGCUUUGUGAUAGUGCACUUUUGUGGCAUCGGUUGAUGGGGACCAUAGUGUUGAGAACGAUCCAUGACGGGUCUCCAUACCUGCGGGCAUACUCACAUUGCUCCAAGAAAAAUGUAAAGUAUCUUCAGGAUUUCUGAUAAUCCAAAUCCGGACAGGAAUAUGAUUUCUGAUUAUCUACAUUUUUUUUUAAUUUGUGGCAGUUUGGAGUGACUUUGCUGCUGAUCAACAUGUCGAAUUCGACGACAUUCAACGUUUGGGUGACUAACGAUCUGAACCUUUACCGGACAACGACCGAUUCGACCAUUCUGACAGAGGAUAGGGAAGAGUACCAUCUGACACCUGAAGGUGGGAAUAUUCAGAGCGAUGUUGUGCAGCUGAACGGGACUCCAUUGAAGCUGAGUUGUGGUGAGAUUCCGAUGAUGGAUCCGAAGCUCGUACCGGCUUCGUCCACGGUGACUGUUGCUCCGGAUUCGUUCGUUUAUGUCAACAUCAAGGAUUUCAAGGCACCUGCUUGCUAGAAAAGAAACAGAAGAGGAUAUGCUUUUCUUUUAGUUUAGUAGUUAGGAAAAGCUCAGGAAAAAUUGUUAGAUUAGAUCUAAUCGGCUAUGUAAAGAAUAAUCAUGAUCCAAUUGAAAUCGAAAAAUUGUUAGAGAUUCAAUUCCAUUCUUUUGUGAUGUUGUUGUUUUGGUCUUCUUCUGAAAGUUGGGUAAAGGGCAACUGUGCGAAAAGUUGUGAUUUUAAAAAACCAAAGAAAACAUGUUGGUUUAGUGGAUCGGACAUGUGUUGGGUCUGGUUAGUGAACUUGUGCUUAUGUUCUUAGAUUAGUCGCUAUGCAUGGUUGAACCAUUCUAUCAUGGUUCGAACACAUAGUAAAAUAAGUUAAAAGCAAUAACGGUCACUUAAGUUUGGGUUAGGUGACAUUUUUGUCACUCAAUAUAAGGCAGGUAACAUUUUCGUCACUCUAGUUUGAGGUAGGUAACAUUUCAAUCACUUAACUUUUUGCUUAAGUUUGGGAUAGGUAACAUUUGAGUGACUUUAGUUUGAGGUAAGUAACAUGUCAUUCAACUUUUUGCUCAAAUUUGAGGUAAGUAAUAUUUUCGUCACUCAAUAUAAAGCAUGUAACAUUUCAGUCACUCUAGUUUGAGGUAGGUAACAUUUCAGUCACUCUAGUUUGAGGUAGAUAACAUUUCAGUCACUCAACUUUUUGGUCAAGUUUUACAUUUCAGUCACUCAAUAUAAGGCAGGUGACAUUUCAGCCACUAUAGUUUGAGAUAGGUAGCAUUUCAGUCACUAAACUUUGUUUCUCAACUUCUGUUACAUAUUCCACCCAAAAAGUUAAUGUGACUAAAAGACUCAAUUUCUGUGUUUAUUUCAUCAGACCGAAUAGGAUACAUGGUUGAACCGUCUUAUUAUAGUCGAUAAAAAUUCAACCCCGGCUUGGUAAAAAAAAUGAAAAAAAUCAUCACUAUUUCAUUUAGGAAGAAGAGAAAAAACCAUGCUAACCCUGUUGUUCAAUCAAUAGGAUACCUUACCAUUUCAGGAACCAGUUAAUGUCACACACCAAACAUUCCUGAAACUGAAACCAAAAGCUUUCCAGGCUUUUGCCUCCAUUCUAUCCAAAAACCCAAAGGGCAAAGAAAAUGCUUUCUUUACUUGCUAGUUGAACCUAAUCCAUCCUUUAUGAAAUGUUUUCAGGCUCCAUCUUCAAAUAACCGAACCCCUUCCGUUAGAAAUCGACAGACAAUAAACGGAAUAAGAAAAAAACCACCAUCUCUUUUCGCAACAAAAUCGAUAAAAGAUUGUUUACAAUUCCAUGGGGAUUGAGCAAGCCAUUGCAGUAGCUGCAGCUGCAUUAGCCAUUUCUGUUAUUGAAGAAGUACAAGAAGAGGCAUGGAUUCCGGUUCCAGAGCCAAAAAGGACAUUGCAGGAAGCAGCAUCUCAUCAAUCCUCUGCCACCAAGAGUCAAGGUAUGCAAGGUGGUUUCCAAUCAAGUUCUGGAUCAAUAAGGUAUGUGGAAGGGGCCUCAUCAGAUAGCAAUGGAGAUGAUGGAACAACACCCCGAAAGGUCCUUGUUCCGAUUUCUUCGAUGGCUAGGACUGAUAAUCCUGCUGCAGCAGCAAUGAAGAAAGAUCCAAGCUUUAAUGAAACCCCUACUGUUUCAUCUAUAAAGAAGACACCUUCAUUUGUGGAUAAAACUGUUCCUAAUUCCAUGCCAACUUCCACCAAAGCUGGGAUUCCAUUGAAGAGACCUGAAGCUUCUUCUACUGCAAAACCUGCUGCAACUGGUAAGCCAGCUGGAACCCCAGUAUCUUCUUCCCAAGCAGCAGAUGCAUGGGAGAAAAUGCAGCUGGAGAAGCUGAAAGCGAAGUAUAAGCAGCAGACUGAUCACAUCAUUUCGUGGGAGGACGGGAGGAAGGCUAAAGCAAGGCGUCGACUCGACAGAGCUGAGGUUUGUUUUCUCCAUUACAUCCAAAUAAUUCGAACUAACAGAUUGUCUGAUAACAUGCUUGUUUCUUCUUCGUGUUGGAUGAACUUUUGGGCAGAGUGAAAUGGAGAGGAGCAGGCUGAGAGCAUUGGACAAGUUUCGGGGGGACAUGGAGAUAGUGAAUAAGAUUGCAGGAGGAGCAAAGGCGAAGACAGCUGAGAGGAUGAAGAAGGAAGAGGUUAAAUUGAAGGAGAAAGCUGAUGCUAUCAGAAGAACAAGUGGCAAAUUCCCAGCAAGAAGGCCUUGUUUAUGCAUCUGAUCAUAUUAUGUUUGACUAAUAAUCUGUUGUAAUAUAAUGUUUGUAGCACUUUGUUGUGUUCAGGAAAUGUGUAUGCAUCUGAACAUCCGAAAUUAACUCCAAAUCCUGCCAAAUUCACCUCCAAUUCCGACUUCGAAAACGUAUCCUAUGUCUAUAAUCAGUUCGAAAUGCCAGAUCCAGUAAUGAAAUGAAGAUAAACACCCUUCUGCAUAUAUAUAAUUAAGAACACUCCGACAGAUAAACCAGACACAAAUUACAUUACUACAACAGCAACAACACACCGAUCAUAAAGUUAAUUAAACUCCACAUAAUCCAUACUUAUAUUCCCCCACCAAUCCACCAUACACCUUAAUUAAUUAAGUUAUUAAUCACUUGAAGAACCCUUCAGCCAUCUUAGCAUACCCGCCAAGCCCACCUCCUUCAGAUUUCUCCUCCUUACCGGCGGCGCCUUCCUCGGCCGGCUUGCCGGCUCCCUCAGCGGUCUUCGAACCGCCGCUGUACUGACGGAGAUAUUCCUCCGCCUUGUCGACGUACUGGCCAUAGCCCUUCUCGUCCAGCUUCCCGUACUUGUUGCCGGCCUCGAUCAGGUCCUCCGCCGCGUCGGCCACCUUGGCCUUGUCUAUGCCGUCGGCCGAUUUGCUCUGCAUCGCCGACUGGGCAGCUGCCGCCACCACUUUUGCGCUCGCCAUCAGCUCCGCGUUCGACGGCGCCGCUACCUCUUCCUUCUUGUCGCCGGCCGGGGCCGGGGUCGGUGCUGAGGGGUGUUCAGUUUCCUUGUCGCCACCGGUGGCUCCGGGGAGCUUGGACUCGGCUGCCUUGGUGAUGGAGGAAAGUAGGCCGUCCAUAAUUAAUUCUAGAUGCCAAAGGAGAAAGAAAUUAAAGCAGAGAGAUUUGUGGGAAGUGACUGAGUGAUUGGAGAUUGGAGGAUACGGUGGUUUAUAUAAUGCUUAGGAUAUUUUUGGAUAUCUUGAUUUUUUUUUAUAAAUACGCGAGAUGGACACGUAUUACUUGUGAUAUACGUGUGUACUUGUAUUUUAUACAGUAAUAUACGUGUUGUUUGAGUCUAAAACCUCUCGACGAAUUAAAUCGCUCAUGAAUAGUUGUAUUUGAUGUGAAAUUUUUUUGUUCAUGAUGAGUCGGGUAUGUUUAAUCAAAUAGGUUUGAGUUCGAACAGAAAUAAUUUUGGAUAUAUGCUUUGUUAAUAAAUUUAAUAAUGUAAUGUAUGUUUGCCUCGAAUAUUAUAUAUAUAUAUAUAUAAUUUAUUAUUAUGUNNNNNNNNNNNNNNNNNNNNNNNNNNNNNNNNNNNNNNNNNNNNNNNNNNNNNNNNNNNNNNNNNNNNNUCGAUCGAUUCGUGAUCAGCCCGGCUAAUCACAAAAAAAGCUAUACCAUUUUUACAAAUUAAAAAAAACUAUUAUAUUAGUUAAUAUUGGAGUAGGGAGUGUUUGGCAGGAGUAAGAGUUGCGACGUGGAAGAAUGAUGGCCACAAGAAGUUUAGAAAGGUGGUGACUAUUGAGUAUAAAAGUAUUAUCUUCCUGCUGUUCCAAUAUCUAGAUAUCUUUAUGACAAAAAAUGGGACCAGAAAACACGAUAAUUGUUUUUAUUUGCCGACAAUAACUCUCCAAGUACUCAACUCCGUGAUUAAUACACACCAAUUCAAUUAUAUUUUAAGAAGUUAAUUUGAUGUGCCAAUUAUCGAUACAAAAAAGAGACAUUCUGGUGCACAGUAGAAACUAUUCAGGUGGUUUGUUUAGUUUUGUAAAGAAAUUAUUAUGAACAAAUUCAUGGUUAGAUCCCUUAUGGAUAGUGGAUAGAUCAUUGAGAUUUUUGAAAGAGAAUUUGCAUCAUGUUCCGUGAGUAAUACACAUCGAUAUUUAUCAAUAUAAAAUAAAAAAAUAGAAAGUAAACAUUAUAUUGGUGUUUAUUUUGUGAAUUGUGUUGGAUUAGAAUUAAAAACUUUUAAAUUAUCACACACAUAAUUUUACCAUCAGAAUAAUUCCACUUCAAUACAUUGUAGUUGUUACGGUAAGGUUAAGUAAAAAUGAAAACCAAACUCUUAAUUUUAAUUUAAUCAUAUAGUUAAAGAAUUUCCAAAUAAGAAUAUGAACAAAAAUGUAAACAUCUAAUUCUAGCUAUUAUUCAAUUCCCAAAGCCACGUUACACAACAACACCAUCACAUGACUAACCACAAACAUAAACAGAAAAGAACCAGAUAGAAAAACAACAAGUACAACUGCAACAUAAUUAAUUAACACGCAGAUUUUUCAGCGGCGGGGAAUUAAACUAAAAUAAAAAAACAUGCAUAAUUAUUUUCAAUUUUCAUCCAUUUACUUCUUGGCAGUGGCGUUGUGGAUGGCCUGCUUCCCCUGCUCGACGUAGUGGGUGGUGCCGGCGACGACUGUGUCCUUAACGCCGAUCGCCCCCUCCUUGGUGUUGGCCACGAUCCCCGGGCCGGCCGGUGCAACCACGGCUGGCUUCUUCUCCUCGGCCUUGCCGCCGCCGGGCAUCAUGUCUUGGGCUUUCUUCAAUAGUCCGUCCAUAUCUAGUUAUAAACAAGUAGGAUUCAAAGAGAUGGGAAAUUGGUACGUAAGAGAUUUUAGUGUGUUUUGAUGGGUUUCAUGGGAUAUAUGGUACGUACUAGUUAUAUAGUGGUACAAAUUUUGGGAAGUUUGGAAGAUAUUUUGAUUGGCUUUUGCUGUGUGUGGCUUACAAUUGGCUUGCCGACAUCGAAAUGAACAGGUUCUACGUGAUAGUCUUUACA